This 55057-nucleotide long non-coding RNA is filed under the name Setaria viridis. RNAcentral's name for it is "long non-coding RNA (SVIR_LNC010032)". The record is from RNAcentral. Lineage: Eukaryota; Viridiplantae; Streptophyta; Magnoliopsida; Poales; Poaceae.
AAUAAUAAUAAUCAUGUUUCCAUAAAAUUGCUAAGUCCAGAGAUAAUACAUAAACAUAGUAGACUGUUCAUGACACAUAUCACGGUGGACAGUGUUUGUGUCCUUAUUACAAGCAACGAGAGAUGCUCGUCACCAACACGCGCGCGCACAGAUGCACGACAUACAUAUAGUAGAGACCAACAGAUGGUCGUCCCAUAUGGUGAACAAUUUAUUGGGGAUAAAUAUUAACGUAACUUGGCCAUAGCUUGAAGCAUAGCAACAUAUGCCUAUGAGUGGCAUUCAUGCUAUCGUUUUAGGCUUGUCCAGCUCCUUCCAUCUUAGCAAGCACUUCCAUUUCUACCAUCUUAGCAGCAACUGUCAAAUUGAGAUACGGAAAUCCCAUUAGCGCAUGAGUUAAUUUUGCAGUGGAAAUAGAGUACAAGAUGUCUUCAUGAUGUAAGUAAUAUGCCUGAAGUUGUGAGAUGGGAAGUGAAGUCAACAAAUUACAUUAACGGAAAUGCAUGGAAGGCCACACAUACGUAUUAGUCCAUGAUAUGCUACAAAGCUUGUAUGUACAUAUAGCAAAUUAAAUGCAUUAAUUGAAUAGAGUGUGUUUAGUGAAUUUACCAGAAUCGUCCAGAAAACAUGGGAAACAGCAAGUGUUCUUGCAGACUGCGUCGGAGGCACCCGCACGAAUACAAAGCUGACAACAUAGUUUUGCCUGGGCGGAUGCGCAGCAGCCGCACUCCGCCGCGGUGGGGUUAACAUUGAGGCUCAAGAUGACCAGGCACAUGAUCACCAUCAAAGUGGUAGUCCUCUUUCCCUCCAUUGCCUCCUCUUAGCUUGCUGCUACCUUCCUUGGUUACCUAGCUAAGUUUAUUGGUUUUGUGUUGAGAGGUGUGAUUUUUGAAUGGACGUUGCCGGCGGCAAUUUAUAGGCAGCUGAGCUAUGUGAUGAUAUGGACUAGGUGCAAAUGGGUGGUUAAUGGCAAGGAAAGGGGCGUCAGACAAAGCCCAAUGGCAACUGCUGACAUGCGAUUAAAUUCAGAUCCACAUCCGGCCAUUCAAUAAUACGGUUGGAGUUGUGGCACAGAUAUAUUAUUGCAUGAUCAUCAAGAUAAGAUCGUACAGUGACUGAGUGAGACAAUAAAUAGCCAAGUAAACUAUUUUAUCCUGCUGCAAGCUGCAUUCAUAAGUUUAUUUCACCUUUGAUCACAAUACUCUUCACACACGUACGUCUCAGGGAGAUCUCACUUCCGCUGGACUGCUCACUUCCGCUGUCGUCGGUACUGCCAAAGACAUAAGCUCACAUCUGCUAUUGCGGAGCAGGCCAAUUUGCUGCGGAACUUCGGCGACGACCUGAAGGACAUGAACUCGGUGCUGGAGUCCAUCUCAGCAGCGCUCUAGGACGCUGACACCGGUAGAAAAACGACCUUCCAUCGUCAACAAAAAUCCCGGUAGCUUUUUUACUCGGUACUAAAGAGGUUUUAAUCUCGUGCAAACACCUUUAGUCCAGAUUGCUAUUACCACGCAACCCGGACUAAAGCGUCCCCCGCGAGUUAGUAUAUAAGGAUUGCAUCCUUUACUCAGUCAGAUAUAAUAUGUAGGUGAGAUGGUAAGGAAGCUAUGCGUGAGGCUUCAGGUUGUGGGUUCGAAUCCAAGUGGGUGCAGCUGUGGCUUAAGCGGCUGAGGCACGCCGCCAUAGACAUCUCAGAUUUGCUCGAAGACUACCAAGACACUAGUGAACCCUUAACAGUAAAGGUGAGUACUUAUGAAUGUCAGCAUCCAUGUUGUCCAUGCUUCCAAUGUAAUAACAAGAUGGACUACUCUUCCUAGCGGACUCUUCACAACCACUCGUAAAGCUAUGCGUUUCUCAAUGCAAUUUCGUAGAAGCCAAUCGAUCCAACCAAGUGACUAAAUCAUUCGUCCUUUCCAAUGAUGUGCAUCAGGUUUUCUAUAUGAAGGGCAUGUCUAGCAAACCUAAGAUUUCAGAAGAAAAAGAAAAAUCAUUGGAGCCAAAGAGCCACAUAGUUCUUCUAGGAAAAAAAUCAUGGGAGUCGAGAACAUAUCAAACCAAUCAGGGGAUUAUGGUCAGCUUAAUGGCAUGCCUCCAUUCGAUGUCGAAGUUCACCCAAGCAUCAUGUUAGCCAAACAUCAAAUGUUCGUGCGUUGUUACGGUAAAGAUCAAUUGUGUUUUUUAAACUCUUGGAAUUUUUUUAUCUAAGUUUUUAUUUACACUUAUUGGAUGUCUACACAUUUGCUAGAAAACUAAAAUAAUUUGGACUUAAUUAUUUCUUUCAACUGAAGUACUCACUAAAUUUCUACCUUUUUAUUUAAGCAAGAGAGUUGCUAAAAAAAAUGGAUACGUAACCAUGUUGUAUCAUACAAAGUAACCACGUUUCACAUAUAGUCCGGCUUAGCAAACACCAUUGUUUUCUGAACAUAGCGUACAUGAGUUAACAGACAUGGAUUUAUUUCUAUUGCAAGUAGCAUAGCGUACAACCUGCCUGCACCGAUGCAGCUCAAUAUGCGAUAAUUUUUAUCUUCCCAUGUAAUUUUUCUACUCUAGUACAUAUUGAACUCCACAUUAAUGUCAUGUUCUUUCGCGCCCCAGAAGGUUCCUAAAGUUUGGAAACUUAAUAGAUAGCCAGAAUUUUUUUUAAAGAUAUUUAUAUGGAUACUUGUAUGUUCUUUCCAAACUAACAAUAUUGUUUACCAAUAUCAGAAGGAAUAUGGUUAGGAGCCAUUGCCGCAUAUGGCAGGUGAUGGUAGAUGGCGUAUGGGGUUUCGUUAAUUUAAUGGUAUAAUAAGCUGAAAUACAUUUUCUAUUUGCAAAUGAAUCAUAGCUGAAAUUGGUGGGAUUGUUUUUUCGCCGGUUUAGCAUCCUGUGCACCAGUUCAACCGGAGGGAAGCUGUUUUUUUUCUUUGGUUUUCCACCGGUUCACCGAGACCGAUGACAAUUUUAUGGCAGAAUCAUUACUUGUUUUACUAUUAGGUGAAGAUUUUAGCGUUUAGGUAUCUCACAUUAAACGCAACUUCAACAAUCUAUUUCUAGUGUAUAAUGUAGGAGACCCCGUAAAGAGUCUACACACACAUAUAUGUUGACUAUGAAUGUAAGUUUGUUGGUUUUAUGUAUGUUCGUUUGGAGUUUAUAUAAAUUUUACAUUUUAUAGUUUUGUGUAUAUGACGAAGAUCCAUGACUUGCAUUAAUUUAGCCUUUCUUCCAACAACUCUUAUGCAUGCUGUUUCUAGGCGAGCGUACUGGUUGCAAUUUUGGUCCCCGAUAUAGUGUGAGGACUUAAGGGACACGUGCAGGUCGUAACCUUAGAUAUUUUUGCUGAGAAUGGAUGAAGAAGCAAUAAUAUACUUUGCUUCUGAUUUUCUCCAUGUCAUUUGCUUACUCUUAUCCCUUUUAUUUAUCAUUAUAAGAUGAAAAUAUUGUAAAAACUUGGCUACGUGCGGUCGCAGAAGCUAGAGACUAAAGCGUCCCCCACGAGUUACUAUAUAAAAGGAUUGCAUCCUCUACUCAGUCAUAUGUACUGUGUAGGUGAGAUGGUAAGGAAGCUAUGUGUGAGGCUUGAGGUUGUAGGUUCGAAUCCCACGCACCGCGUGCGCAUGCGCAUAUUUUGCGUGAAAAAUCGCAUGACUUGUGGUCGGCCAAGGAGAAGUGCGUGCGGCUGAGGCACGCCGCCAUAGACAUCUCGGAUUUGCUCCAAGACUACCAAGACACUAGCGAACCCUUAACGGCAAAGUUGAGUACUUACGCGUGUUAGCAUCUAUGUUGUCCAUGCUUCCAAUGCAAUAACAAGAAGGGCUACUCAUCCUAGCGGAUUCUUCACAACCACUCGUAAAGCUAUGCGUUUCUCAAUGCAAUUUCGUAGAUGUCAAUCGAUCCAACCAAGCGACUGAAUCAUUCGUCCUUGCUAAUGAUGUGCAUCAGGUUUUCUAUAUGAAGAACAUGUCUAGCAAAUCCAAGAUUUCAGAAGAAAAAUAAAAAUCAUGAGAACCAAAGCACCACGUAGUUCUUCCAGGUAAAAAAAACAAUCAUCCACUGGGAUGACACACAGUAGCGAUCCAAAACGUCCAUAUUAAGACUUUUUGAUAGCAGAAAAAACAUGAAAAUGUCUAAUAUUUGUAGUAUUAAAAGGAAAAAUAAUAUAUUCACUUGACCUUUUUUUCGUAGCAACGCACCGGUGCGUAGUCAGACUUAGGCCACGUUUGGAUACUCCCUACUAAAGUUUAGCACCUGUCACAUAGGAUGUUUGGAUACUAAUUAGGAGUAUUAAACAUAGGCUAAUUAUAAAACUAAUUGAAUAGAUGGAGUCUAAUUUGCGAGACGAAUCUAUUAAGCCUAACUAGUCCAUGAUUUGACAAUGUGGUGCUACAGUAACCAUUUGCUAAUGGUGGAUUAAUUAGGCUUAAUAGAUUCGUCUCGCGAAUUAACAUAGGGUUCUGCAAUUAAUUUUAUAAUUAGCUCAUGUCUAGUCCUUCUAAUUAGCAUCCGAACAUCUGAUAUGAUACUGCUAAAGUUUAUCACCUAGUAUCCAAAUACCCCCUUAAUGCACGAUGCCUGUGCAUCCACUGGGCCUACCCUCGUGGAUCACGCGCUCGUGGAUCACGCGCACCAUGACAUGGCUCAUUAGCUAGUCGUGCUAAUCCUUACCACCAAAUUAAAAACUAGCAUGUGUUGUGUGUUUGUGACCCUAAACGACUACCACCUUCCCGAGUCCACCGGAGUUGCCAGUUCACCACUAAGCUGACUCUCCGAGCUUCAUGUCACUGUCACCGCUCCAAAGACCUAGAUCGGUUCGCUGUGCACCCCGCUUCGUCCUGAGCUAAAUCCCAUCACGAAAGGUGACCGGAUGCUCGUUUUCGAGCGAAUUCUAGCGAGAUUGCCACCACCUUUCCCCUUCCAGCCGAUCGCAGCUGUCUGAUCACAAACCGACAGCCCAGAUCGGAUUUGACCAGGUCAAUACCGGUCAAGCCGAGAUGCAUGCUGCUUUUGCAAGAAGGCCCCUAUUUUUCUCUCGUUUUGCACUUGAGGUCCUACGCAGUUCAAAAGUAAUUAGAUCUAGAUCCUUUUUCUUCUGUUUUAGCCCUGUUCUUUUAUAAAAUCCCACCCGCCAUCCUGUUUGGUAUUUUGACAUGUUAGACCUUCUAUUUAUAUGUUUAAUUAGGUUUUAGCCCUUGGUUUCUUUAAGUUUAGCUCUUGGAAGUUUAGUUUUCUCGCAGUUAAGCCCCUGAACCUUGUUUAGUUCAUAUCUUUAGCGUUUUAAAUCCGUUUUAAGAGAUUCUUACGCCCAUAAGUUCGUGUUGAUGCAUAGAUUAGUUGACUUAUACGGACCUUGCUGAUUCAGCUCCUUCAUUGUGCUUCAGAUCUCGCUAGUGAAGAAUAAUGGAUGGGCUUUGGUUGAGCUUGUAGAUCGACCUGCAGUUGCAGUGAAUGUGCUGAGGACUGGCGGUACCAAUAAUGGGAGGCCGCUGCUCUGCUUGCUACCAAGGCCUGCGACGCUUGGACGCCAUUCAGAGUGCAUAAUUUCCAAGGAUCUCAAGGGCUCCACACCACGUUCCAAGUGUUUUUUCUUUGCCGAGUGUUUUUAGCUCGGCACUUGGCAAAGAGCUUGUUUGCCGAGUGUCCGAAAAAAACACUUGGCAAAGAGAAAACACUCGGCAAAUUUGAUGUUUCCCGUAGUGAUGUACUAUUCAAACUUGAACUGGGAUGCAGGCUUCAGUACCAAAGAGAGCUCUGGGCGCGGGUGAGCAGUGAGCUGGCCGGGCAGGGAGCUCCAAAGCGACAGCAACAAAGAGAGAAAUGCUAAGAGUAAGAACGACACACGAGGUCACUUCACAUAGAUAAUAGCAGUACGAACCAUACAAUAUCCUCUCUCAGUUUCACUCCGCCUCACACACGGCUAGCACACCAUGCAUGCCGAUUUCAUAUUAUUAAUAUUAUUUUUUGGAUGGUUGUUGAAACUAUAUAUAUAGUUAGUCCAAUCUCACGUUUCCGAUUAUAAAAAUCAACGUAAAGAGAUCGGUAGGGAGAGCCGGCAUAAUGAAGCCGACGCGUGUAAUAAGCACCAGAGCCGGCAUUUAUACAAACUGGUACGAAUAGUAAAAAACUAGAAUUUAUAAAUAAAAAAAUGAUUUGCACAUCUAUGCAAUAAUUAGGGGUUAGUGGCAGGUCUAGAGAGAUAUCUCAUCAUUAUAUCCGGUUUAACGAGGAUAAAAAAGAGUGUAUUUUCCACUCAUCAUGUUGUCUUUUCGCAGCGGUACCACUUUUCGUGUGUUGUAUCGGUCCCCUAAUACGGAGUCUCCGAGGCCCGAGAAAAUAAGGAAAGUGAUAGUAGCCCAGAAAUCGGCCAAGUUUCUUUCCCCUUUGGCUUUCCUACUAGGAUUCAGAAUCCUCUUUCGCAUGACAAUCUUAAUUAUCUCCCAUACUCCAAAACUCACAAAAACAUCAAGAGUCCGCUGAGAAUAAAUUUAAGUAAAAAACAUGCACACACAGAUAAUAAUAAUAAUCAUGUUUCCAUAAAAUUGCUAAGUCCAGAGAUAAUACAUAAACAUAGUAGACUGUUCAUGACACAUAUCACGGUGGACAGUGUUUGUGUCCUUAUUACAAGCAACGAGAGAUGCUCGUCACCAACACGCGCGCGCACAGAUGCACGACAUACAUAUAGUAGAGACCAACAGAUGGUCGUCCCAUAUGGUGAACAAUUUAUUGGAGAUAAAUAUUAACGUAACUUGGCCAUAGCUUGAAGCAUAGCAACAUAUGCCUAUGAGUGGCAUUCAUGCUAUCGUUUUAGGCUUGUCCAGCUCCUUCCAUCUUAGCAAGCACUUCCAUUUCUACCAUCUUAGCAGCAACUGUCAAAUUGAGAUACGGAAAUCCCAUUAGCGCAUGAGUUAAUUUUGCAGUGGAAAUAGAGUACAAGAUGUCUUCAUGAUGUAAGUAAUAUGCCUGAAGUUGUGAGAUGGGAAGUGAAGUCAACAAAUUACAUUAACGGAAAUGCAUGGAAGGCCACACAUACGUAUUAGUCCAUGAUAUGCUACAAAGCUUGUAUGUACAUAUAGCAAAUUAAAUGCAUUAAUUGAAUAGAGUGUGUUUAGUGAAUUUACCAGAAUCGUCCAGAAAACAUGGGAAACAGCAAGUGUUCUUGCAGACUGCGUCGGAGGCACCCGCACGAAUACAAAGCUGACAACAUAGUUUUGCCUGGGCGGAUGCGCAGCAGCCGCACUCCGCCGCGGUGGGGUUAACAUUGAGGCUCAAGAUGACCAGGCACAUGAUCACCAUCAAAGUGGUAGUCCUCUUUCCCUCCAUUGCCUCCUCUUAGCUUGCUGCUACCUUCCUUGGUUACCUAGCUAAGUUUAUUGGUUUUGUGUUGAGAGGUGUGAUUCUUGAAUGGACGUUGCCGGCGGCAAUUUAUAGGCAGCUGAGCUAUGUGAUGAUAUGGACUAGGUGCAAAUGGGUGGUUAAUGGCAAGGAAAGGGGCGUCAGACAAAGCCCAAUGGCAACUGCUGACAUGCGAUUAAAUUCAGAUCCACAUCCGGCCAUUCAAUAAUACGGUUGGAGUUGUGGCACAGAUAUAUUAUUGCAUGAUCAUCAAGAUAAGAUCGUACAGUGACUGAGUGAGACAAUAAAUAGCCAAGUAAACUAUUUUAUCCUGCUGCAAGCUGCAUUCAUAAGUUUAUUUCACCUUUGAUCACAAUACUCUUCACACACGUACGUCUCAGGGAGAUCUCACUUCCGCUGGACUGCUCACUUCCGCUGUCGUCGGUACUGCCAAAGACAUAAGCUCACAUCUGCUAUUGCGGAGCAGGCCAAUUUGCUGCGGAACUUCGGCGACGACCUGAAGGACAUGAACUCGGUGCUGGAGUCCAUCUCAGCAGCGCUCUAGGACGCUGACACCGGUAGAAAAACGACCUUCCAUCGUCAACAAAAAUCCCGGUAGCUUUUUUACUCGGUACUAAAGAGGUUUUAAUCUCGUGCAAACACCUUUAGUCCAGAUUGCUAUUACCACGCAACCCGGACUAAAGCGUCCCCCGCGAGUUAGUAUAUAAGGAUUGCAUCCUUUACUCAGUCAGAUAUAAUAUGUAGGUGAGAUGGUAAGGAAGCUAUGCGUGAGGCUUCAGGUUGUGGGUUCGAAUCCAAGUGGGUGCAGCUGUGGCUUAAGCGGCUGAGGCACGCCGCCAUAGACAUCUCAGAUUUGCUCGAAGACUACCAAGACACUAGUGAACCCUUAACAGUAAAGGUGAGUACUUAUGAAUGUCAGCAUCCAUGUUGUCCAUGCUUCCAAUGUAAUAACAAGAUGGACUACUCUUCCUAGCGGACUCUUCACAACCACUCGUAAAGCUAUGCGUUUCUCAAUGCAAUUUCGUAGAAGCCAAUCGAUCCAACCAAGUGACUAAAUCAUUCGUCCUUUCCAAUGAUGUGCAUCAGGUUUUCUAUAUGAAGGGCAUGUCUAGCAAACCUAAGAUUUCAGAAGAAAAAGAAAAAUCAUUGGAGCCAAAGAGCCACAUAGUUCUUCUAGGAAAAAAAUCAUGGGAGUCGAGAACAUAUCAAACCAAUCAGGGGAUUAUGGUCAGCUUAAUGGCAUGCCUCCAUUCGAUGUCGAAGUUCACCCAAGCAUCAUGUUAGCCAAACAUCAAAUGUUCGUGCGUUGUUACGGUAAAGAUCAAUUGUGUUUUUUAAACUCUUGGAAUUUUUUUAUCUAAGUUUUUAUUUACACUUAUUGGAUGUCUACACAUUUGCUAGAAAACUAAAAUAAUUUGGACUUAAUUAUUUCUUUCAACUGAAGUACUCACUAAAUUUCUACCUUUUUAUUUAAGCAAGAGAGUUGCUAAAAAAAAUGGAUACGUAACCAUGUUGUAUCAUACAAAGUAACCACGUUUCACAUAUAGUCCGGCUUAGCAAACACCAUUGUUUUCUGAACAUAGCGUACAUGAGUUAACAGACAUGGAUUUAUUUCUAUUGCAAGUAGCAUAGCGUACAACCUGCCUGCACCGAUGCAGCUCAAUAUGCGAUAAUUUUUAUCUUCCCAUGUAAUUUUUCUACUCUAGUACAUAUUGAACUCCACAUUAAUGUCAUGUUCUUUCGCGCCCCAGAAGGUUCCUAAAGUUUGGAAACUUAAUAGAUAGCCAGAAUUUUUUUUAAAGAUAUUUAUAUGGAUACUUGUAUGUUCUUUCCAAACUAACAAUAUUGUUUACCAAUAUCAGAAGGAAUAUGGUUAGGAGCCAUUGCCGCAUAUGGCAGGUGAUGGUAGAUGGCGUAUGGGGUUUCGUUAAUUUAAUGGUAUAAUAAGCUGAAAUACAUUUUCUAUUUGCAAAUGAAUCAUAGCUGAAAUUGGUGGGAUUGUUUUUUCGCCGGUUUAGCAUCCUGUGCACCAGUUCAACCGGAGGGAAGCUGUUUUUUUUCUUUGGUUUUCCACCGGUUCACCGAGACCGAUGACAAUUUUAUGGCAGAAUCAUUACUUGUUUUACUAUUAGGUGAAGAUUUUAGCGUUUAGGUAUCUCACAUUAAACGCAACUUCAACAAUCUAUUUCUAGUGUAUAAUGUAGGAGACCCCGUAAAGAGUCUACACACACAUAUAUGUUGACUAUGAAUGUAAGUUUGUUGGUUUUAUGUAUGUUCGUUUGGAGUUUAUAUAAAUUUUACAUUUUAUAGUUUUGUGUAUAUGACGAAGAUCCAUGACUUGCAUUAAUUUAGCCUUUCUUCCAACAACUCUUAUGCAUGAUGUUUCUAGGCGAGCGUACUGGUUGCAAUUUUGGUCCCCGAUAUAGUGUGAGGACUUAAGGGACACGUGCAGGUCGUAACCUUAGAUAUUUUUGCUGAGAAUGGAUGAAGAAGCAAUAAUAUACUUUGCUUCUGAUUUUCUCCAUGUCAUUUGCUUACUCUUAUCCCUUUUAUUUAUCAUUAUAAGAUGAAAAUAUUGUAAAAACUUGGCUACGUGCGGUCGCAGAAGCUAGAGACUAAAGCGUCCCCCACGAGUUACUAUAUAAAAGGAUUGCAUCCUCUACUCAGUCAUAUGUACUGUGUAGGUGAGAUGGUAAGGAAGCUAUGUGUGAGGCUUGAGGUUGUAGGUUCGAAUCCCACGCACCGCGUGCGCAUGCGCAUAUUUUGCGUGAAAAAUCGCAUGACUUGUGGUCGGCCAAGGAGAAGUGCGUGCGGCUGAGGCACGCCGCCAUAGACAUCUCGGAUUUGCUCCAAGACUACCAAGACACUAGCGAACCCUUAACGGCAAAGUUGAGUACUUACGCGUGUUAGCAUCUAUGUUGUCCAUGCUUCCAAUGCAAUAACAAGAAGGGCUACUCAUCCUAGCGGAUUCUUCACAACCACUCGUAAAGCUAUGCGUUUCUCAAUGCAAUUUCGUAGAUGUCAAUCGAUCCAACCAAGCGACUGAAUCAUUCGUCCUUGCUAAUGAUGUGCAUCAGGUUUUCUAUAUGAAGAACAUGUCUAGCAAAUCCAAGAUUUCAGAAGAAAAAUAAAAAUCAUGAGAACCAAAGCACCACGUAGUUCUUCCAGGUAAAAAAAACAAUCAUCCACUGGGAUGACACACAGUAGCGAUCCAAAACGUCCAUAUUAAGACUUUUUGAUAGCAGAAAAAACAUGAAAAUGUCUAAUAUUUGUAGUAUUAAAAGGAAAAAUAAUAUAUUCACUUGACCUUUUUUUCGUAGCAACGCACCGGUGCGUAGUCAGACUUAGGCCACGUUUGGAUACUCCCUACUAAAGUUUAGCACCUGUCACAUAGGAUGUUUGGAUACUAAUUAGGAGUAUUAAACAUAGGCUAAUUAUAAAACUAAUUGAACAGAUGGAGUCUAAUUUGCGAGACGAAUCUAUUAAGCCUAACUAGUCCAUGAUUUGACAAUGUGGUGCUACAGUAACCAUUUGCUAAUGGUGGAUUAAUUAGGCUUAAUAGAUUCGUCUCGCGAAUUAACAUAGGGUUCUGCAAUUAAUUUUAUAAUUAGCUCAUGUCUAGUCCUUCUAAUUAGCAUCCGAACAUCUGAUAUGAUACUGCUAAAGUUUAUCACCUAGUAUCCAAAUACCCCCUUAAUGCACGAUGCCUGUGCAUCCACUGGGCCUACCCUCGUGGAUCACGCGCUCGUGGAUCACGCGCACCAUGACAUGGCUCAUUAGCUAGUCGUGCUAAUCCUUACCACCAAAUUAAAAACUAGCAUGUGUUGUGUGUUUGUGACCCUAAACGACUACCACCUUCCCGAGUCCACCGGAGUUGCCAGUUCACCACUAAGCUGACUCUCCGAGCUUCAUGUCACUGUCACCGCUCCAAAGACCUAGAUCGGUUCGCUGUGCACCCCGCUUCGUCCUGAGCUAAAUCCCAUCACGAAAGGUGACCGGAUGCUCGUUUUCGAGCGAAUUCUAGCGAGAUUGCCACCACCUUUCCCCUUCCAGCCGAUCGCAGCUGUCUGAUCACAAACCGACAGCCCAGAUCGGAUUUGACCAGGUCAAUACCGGUCAAGCCGAGAUGCAUGCUGCUUUUGCAAGAAGGCCCCUAUUUUUCUCUCUUUUUGCACUUGAGGUCCUACGCAGUUCAAAAGUAAUUAGAUCUAGAUCCUUUUUCUUCUGUUUUAGCCCUGUUCUUUUAUAAAAUCCCACCCGCCAUCCUGUUUGGUAUUUUGACAUGUUAGACCUUCUAUUUAUAUGUUUAAUUAGGUUUUAGCCCUUGGUUUCUUUAAGUUUAGCUCUUGGAAGUUUAGUUUUCUCGCAGUUAAGCCCCUGAACCUUGUUUAGUUCAUAUCUUUAGCGUUUUAAAUCCGUUUUAAGAGAUUCUUACGCCCAUAAGUUCGUGUUGAUGCAUAGAUUAGUUGACUUAUACGGACCUUGCUGAUUCAGCUCCUUCAUUGUGCUUCAGAUCUCGCUAGUGAAGAAUAAUGGAUGGGCUUUGGUUGAGCUUGUAGAUCGACCUGCAGUUGCAGUGAAUGUGCUGAGGACUGGCGGUACCAAUAAUGGGAGGCCGCUGCUCUGCUUGCUACCAAGGCCUGCGACGCUUGGACGCCAUUCAGAGUGCAUAAUUUCCAAGGAUCUCAAGGGCUCCACACCACGUUCCAAGUGUUUUUUCUUUGCCGAGUGUUUUUAGCUCGGCACUUGGCAAAGAGCUUGUUUGCCGAGUGUCCGAAAAAAACACUUGGCAAAGAGAAAACACUCGGCAAAUUUGAUGUUUCCCGUAGUGAUGUACUAUUCAAACUUGAACUGGGAUGCAGGCUUCAGUACCAAAGAGAGCUCUGGGCGCGGGUGAGCAGUGAGCUGGCCGGGCAGGGAGCUCCAAAGCGACAGCAACAAAGAGAGAAAUGCUAAGAGUAAGAACGACACACGAGGUCACUUCACAUAGAUAAUAGCAGUACGAACCAUACAAUAUCCUCUCUCAGUUUCACUCCGCCUCACACACGGCUAGCACACCAUGCAUGCCGAUUUCAUAUUAUUAAUAUUAUUUUUUGGAUGGUUGUUGAAACUAUAUAUAUAGUUAGUCCAAUCUCACGUUUCCGAUUAUAAAAAUCAACGUAAAGAGAUCGGUAGGGAGAGCCGGCAUAAUGAAGCCGACGCGUGUAAUAAGCACCAGAGCCGGCAUUUAUACAAACUGGUACGAAUAGUAAAAAACUAGAAUUUAUAAAUAAAAAAAUGAUUUGCACAUCUAUGCAAUAAUUAGGGGUUAGUGGCAGGUCUAGAGAGAUAUCUCAUCAUUAUAUCCGGUUUAACGAGGAUAAAAAAGAGUGUAUUUUCCACUCAUCAUGUUGUCUUUUCGCAGCGGUACCACUUUUCGUGUGUUGUAUCGGUCCCCUAAUACGGAGUCUCCGAGGCCCGAGAAAAUAAGGAAAGUGAUAGUAGCCCAGAAAUCGGCCAAGUUUCUUUCCCCUUUGGCUUUCCUACUAGGAUUCAGAAUCCUCUUUCGCAUGACAAUCUUAAUUAUCUCCCAUACUCCAAAACUCACAAAAACAUCAAGAGUCCGCUGAGAAUAAAUUUAAGUAAAAAACAUGCACACACAGAUAAUAAUAAUAAUCAUGUUUCCAUAAAAUUGCUAAGUCCAGAGAUAAUACAUAAACAUAGUAGACUGUUCAUGACACAUAUCACGGUGGACAGUGUUUGUGUCCUUAUUACAAGCAACGAGAGAUGCUCGUCACCAACACGCGCGCGCACAGAUGCACGACAUACAUAUAGUAGAGACCAACAGAUGGUCGUCCCAUAUGGUGAACAAUUUAUUGGAGAUAAAUAUUAACGUAACUUGGCCAUAGCUUGAAGCAUAGCAACAUAUGCCUAUGAGUGGCAUUCAUGCUAUCGUUUUAGGCUUGUCCAGCUCCUUCCAUCUUAGCAAGCACUUCCAUUUCUACCAUCUUAGCAGCAACUGUCAAAUUGAGAUACGGAAAUCCCAUUAGCGCAUGAGUUAAUUUUGCAGUGGAAAUAGAGUACAAGAUGUCUUCAUGAUGUAAGUAAUAUGCCUGAAGUUGUGAGAUGGGAAGUGAAGUCAACAAAUUACAUUAACGGAAAUGCAUGGAAGGCCACACAUACGUAUUAGUCCAUGAUAUGCUACAAAGCUUGUAUGUACAUAUAGCAAAUUAAAUGCAUUAAUUGAAUAGAGUGUGUUUAGUGAAUUUACCAGAAUCGUCCAGAAAACAUGGGAAACAGCAAGUGUUCUUGCAGACUGCGUCGGAGGCACCCGCACGAAUACAAAGCUGACAACAUAGUUUUGCCUGGGCGGAUGCGCAGCAGCCGCACUCCGCCGCGGUGGGGUUAACAUUGAGGCUCAAGAUGACCAGGCACAUGAUCACCAUCAAAGUGGUAGUCCUCUUUCCCUCCAUUGCCUCCUCUUAGCUUGCUGCUACCUUCCUUGGUUACCUAGCUAAGUUUAUUGGUUUUGUGUUGAGAGGUGUGAUUCUUGAAUGGACGUUGCCGGCGGCAAUUUAUAGGCAGCUGAGCUAUGUGAUGAUAUGGACUAGGUGCAAAUGGGUGGUUAAUGGCAAGGAAAGGGGCGUCAGACAAAGCCCAAUGGCAACUGCUGACAUGCGAUUAAAUUCAGAUCCACAUCCGGCCAUUCAAUAAUACGGUUGGAGUUGUGGCACAGAUAUAUUAUUGCAUGAUCAUCAAGAUAAGAUCGUACAGUGACUGAGUGAGACAAUAAAUAGCCAAGUAAACUAUUUUAUCCUGCUGCAAGCUGCAUUCAUAAGUUUAUUUCACCUUUGAUCACAAUACUCUUCACACACGUACGUCUCAGGGAGAUCUCACUUCCGCUGGACUGCUCACUUCCGCUGUCGUCGGUACUGCCAAAGACAUAAGCUCACAUCUGCUAUUGCGGAGCAGGCCAAUUUGCUGCGGAACUUCGGCGACGACCUGAAGGACAUGAACUCGGUGCUGGAGUCCAUCUCAGCAGCGCUCUAGGACGCUGACACCGGUAGAAAAACGACCUUCCAUCGUCAACAAAAAUCCCGGUAGCUUUUUUACUCGGUACUAAAGAGGUUUUAAUCUCGUGCAAACACCUUUAGUCCGGAUUGCUGUUACCACGCAACCCGAACUAAAGCGUCCCCCACGAGUUACUAUAUAAGGAUUGCAUCCUUUACUCAGUCAGAUAUAAUGUGUAGGUGAGAUGGUAAGGAAGCUAUACGUGAGGCUUCAGGUUGUGGGUUCGAAUCCAAGGAGAAGUGGGUGCAGCUGUGGCUUAAGCGGCUGAGGCACGCCGCCAUAGACAUCUCAGAUUUGCUCGAAGACUACCAAGACACUAGUGAACCCUUAACAGUAAAGGUGAGUACUUAUGAAUGUCAGCAUCCAUGUUGUCCAUGCUUCCAAUGUAAUAACAAGAUGGACUACUCUUCCUAGCGGACUCUUCACAACCACUCGUAAAGCUAUACGUUUCUCAAUGCAAUUUCGUAGAAGCCAAUCGAUCCAACCAAGUGACUAAAUCAUUCAUCCUUUCCAAUGAUGUGCAUCAGGUUUUCUACAUGAAGGGCAUCUCUAGCAAACCCAAGAUUUCAGAAGAAAAAGAAAAAUCAUUGGAGCCAAAGAGCCACAUAGUUCUUCCAGGAAAAAAAAAUCAUGGGAGUCGAGAACAAAUCAAACCAAUCAGAGGAUUAUGGUCAGCUUAAUGGCAUGCCUCCAUUCGAUGUCGAAGUUCACCCAAGCAUCAUGUUAGCCAAACAUCAAAUGUUCGUGCGUUGUUACGGUAAAGAUCAAUUGUGUUUUUUAAACUCAUGGAAUUUUUUUUCUAAGUUUUUAUUACACUUAUUGGAUGUCUACACAUUUGCUAGAAAACCAAAAUAAUUUGGACUUAAUUAUUUCUUUCAACUGAAGUACUCACUAAAUUUCUACCUUUUUAUUUAAGCAAGAGAGUUGCUAAAAAAAAUGGAUACAUAACCAUGUUGUAUCGUACAAAGCAACCACAUUUCACAUAUAGUCCGGCUUACCAAACACCAUUUUUUACUGAACAUAGCGUACAUGAGUUAAGAGACAUGGAUUUAUUUCUAUUGCAAGUAGCAUAGCGUACAACCUGCCUGCACCGAUGCAGCUCAAUAUGCGAUAAUUUUUAUCUUCCCAUGUAAUUUUUCUACUCUAGUACAUAUUGAACUCCACAUUAAUGUCAUGUUCUUUGGCGCCCCAGACGGUUCCUAAAGUUUGGAAACAAAAUAGAUAGCCAGAAAUUUUUUUAAAAAAUAUUUAUAUGGAUAUUUGUAUGUUCUUUGCAAACUAACAAUAUUGUUUACCAAUAUCAAAAGGAAUAUGGCUAGGAGCCAUUGCCGCAUAUGGCAGGUGAUGGUAGAUGGCGUAUGGGAUUUCGUUAAUUUAAUGGUAUAAUAAGCUGAAAUACAUUUUCUAUUUGCAAAUGAAUCAUAGCUGAAAGUGGUGAGAUUGUUUUUUCGCCGGUUUAGCAUCCUGUGCACCGGUUCAACUGGAGGGAAGCGGUUCACCGAGACGGAUGACAAUUUUACGGCAGAAUCAUUACUUGUUUUAUUAUUAGGUGAAGAUUUUAGCUUUUAGGUAUCUCACAUUAACAAUCUGUUUCUAGUGUAUAAUGUAGGAGACCCGUAAAGAGUCUACACACACAUAUAUAUGUUGACUAUGAAUGUAAGUUUGUUGGUUUUAUGUAUGUUCAUUUGGAGUUUAUAUAAAUUUUACAUUUUAUAGUUUUGUGUAUAUGACGAAGAUCCAUGACUUGCAUUAAUUUAACCUUUCUUCCAACAACUCUUAUGCAUGCUGUUUCUAGGGGAGCGCACUGGUUGCAAUUUUGGUCCCCGAUAUAGCAUGAGGACUUAAGGGAGACGGGCACGUCGUAACCUUAGAUAUUUUUGCAAGAAGCAAAUUAUACUUUGCUUUUGAUUUUCUCCAUGCCAUUUGCUGACUCUUAUCCCUUUUAUUUAUCAUUAUAAGAUGAAAAUAUUGUAAAAACUUGGUUACGUGCGGUCGCAGAAGCUAGAGACUAUUUCUUUUUUUAAAAAUACGCAAGAGGGAGAAACUUGGUAACAGCUAGACAGUGAAGAUCGCAUUUCAUAAGAAAGAUGGUGCACGUUCUUGUUUGGCUGUUAACGAAAUGACUUCGUUUCACCACACCACCAGAGAGCCCCAUUGCACUUGCAGCAAAAGCGUGGAGCCGCUUUCAACCAGCGUGCAAUAAUGCAGUCCCGCGUGUCUUGGUCUUACAGGAUAUUUGGUUCUUUAGUCCGGACUAAAAUUCAUGUCGCAUAGAAUAUUCAGAUGUUAAAUAGGAGGACUAAACAUGAGCUAAUUAUAAAAAUAAUUACACAAAUGGAGGCUAAUUCCCAAGACAAAUCUAUUAAGUCUAAUUAAUCCAUCAUUAGCACAUGUUUACCGUAGCACCGUAUUGUCAAAUCAUGGACUAAUUAGGCUUAAUAAAUUCGUCUCGCAAGUUAGUCUCCAUCUAUACAAUUUGUUUUAUAAUUAGUCAAUGUUUAAUACUCUAUCUAAACAUUCAAUGUGACUGAAAUUUUAGGAGGUCCUAAAGAACCAAACACCCCUUAGUCUCCGCCUGAACUAUAGCAGGUGCUGGCAGCGGUAGCAGGGUCGUCCAUUAUAUCUAUGGAUGGAAAUGAUCUGAUUCGGAUGGAAUCGAAUUCGAAUAGCACUUUUUACCACAUACUAAUCUGAAUUGGAUGUUCUCGAAUGUGAAUGCAAAACGGAUAGUUCAAAUUUGAAUACUUUGCGGAUUUUUGCAUAAUAUUAAUCGAAGAGAAUUUGUUAAAUUUAGCCGAGACAUAAAUUUUUCUAAAUUCAAAUACUUUGCAGAUUUUCGAAUGCAAAUUUUUUCAUACGAUCUCGGUUGAAUACAAACUUUAUAUCAAAGUUGUAUAUUUAGAUUAUAUAUAAAACUUUGUAGUUGACCUCCUUUUCAUUUAAAAUUUUUUAAUAGCUCAAAACAUUAUUCUAAGCUUUCUAAUUUCAAAAUCUUGAAUUUUAAAUUUUUCAAACGACCUCGGAUGCAAACAAGCUCUAUAUCAAAGUGCUUAAUGAGAUAUAAAAUUUUGUAGUUGACAAGUUUUUUAGUUGAAAACAUUUAGUUAUCACAAACAUACAAGUUCUUCAUUUGAUGUCGAGGAUUGGAAGUGUUGAGUUUGAAGAAUAUAUUCUUUGAUUACAAACUUUUCCAUAUGAUCUUGGAUGAAUACGAACUUUAUUUCAAAGUUGCAAAUUUAGAUUAGACCAAAAACAGUAUAGUUUACAAUUUUUUCAUUCAAAAUUAUUUAGUAGCUCAAAAUGUUAUUCUAAACUCUCUAAUUUUGAAAUCUUGAAUUUUAAAAUUUUCAAAUGACCUCGGAUGCAAACAAGCUCUAUAUCGAAGUGGUAGUUCUUAAUGAGAUAUAAAAUUUUGUAGUUCCAUCUGAGAUCAUUUAACAGUCACAAAUAUACAAGUUUUUCAUAUGAUGCUAAGGAUCAGAAAGAUUAAGUUUGAAGGCUGUAUUUUUUUAAUACAAAUUUUUGCAUACGAUCUCGGAUGAAUACAAACUUUAUAUCAAAAUUGUAGAGCUCGAUGAGAAUUUAAACUUUGUAGUUGAUAUAUUUUUCAUUCGAGAAUGUUUAGUGGUCCAAACAUGUAUUAUAAGUUCAGAGAAGAAACACACAAUCGGCCACGUCAUCAAUUGACAACUUCCAAACUGAGCAUUCCUAUUGGUUCACACCUUUCCCUUUCAACUCGUCAAGCUUAUCUCCUCCCACUCCUCCAUCGUUCACUCCCCCUUCCCCUUCCUCUCUCCCUCCCUCCCUCCGCUCCAGCAGUGGCAGCCCGACCUGCCUCCUAGGACGGUGGUGUGCGGGGCUCGGGCAUCCCUGGCCUCUAGUGGCGUGGCAGGGCGGCCUCCAGCAGCGAUGGCGGAACUCGGCCUCCGGUGGCGCACAGGCAGCGCAGCCUACCUGGUCAAAGGCGGCGCAACAGGGCGACCUCCCCAGCCUCCGGCGGCGCGCAGGGCAUCCAUGACCUCCCCGGCCUCCCUUGCCAGAGGUGGUGCGCGGGGCUGCGCCGACCUCCCCAACCAGAGGUGGCAAGGCCCCAGCUUACGGCGGCGCGUGGCUCCCCAGCUAGGGUGUGGUGGGGCGGCGGCAAGUCAGGCGUGGCCGCGUGGGGGUGGGGGGAGGGGGUUGGGCUGGGCGGAUUCAGAUAGUAUCCAUUUAACCAUCCGAAAUGUGGAUAUCCGUUUAACAAUCCGUUUAGCAAAACCGAAUUUGGAUACUUCCACUUAAGUAUCCAACUAGGAUUCGAAUGCGGAUGGUCCUACCAUAUUGUUAUUUCAGCGGAUACGAAUAUGGGAUAAUUCGAAUAACGACUUACCCAUCCCUGAUUAUAUCCGUGUAAAUAAAUAAUUGCGGCAGCAGGUUCCCGUCGCCACGCCCCCGUCAAACCAAACAAUUGCUUGCGCGACACCGUGUUACUAGAUCUUGUACAGUACUCCCUCCGUUGCAGUACUCCCUAAUGAAAGUUGAGAAUCGAUCGACAACCACGGCUAGUUGCUAUGCACUCGAUCAGAUGGUCCAGGCGCCCGCUGGUAAUCAGGUCGUGGUUCACGCGCAUCAGGCCAGCUAUGACGUUGCCAGCAGUGCUCAGUACACAAAUCUAGCUAUCAGUCGGAUCCAAUUGGGCAGGCAUUUGCACUGUGGUUGUGUUUGAACCUGUAGAUGUCGUUGUCAUUAUCAGGCACCAUACAUCCUCUCUCAGAGGGUGUUUCACCCCCUAAACUUUAGCCCCUCUCACAUCGAAUGUUUUAGAUACUAAUUAGGAAUAUUAAACAUAGAAAAUUUACUAAACCCAUUACAUGGAUGGAGGGUAAACGGCGAGACAAAUCUAUUAAAUCUAAUUAGUCCAUGAUUUGACAAUGUGCUGCUAUAGUAACUAUUUGCUAAUGAUGGAUUAAUUAGACUUAAUAGAUUUUUCUUGCUGUUUAGCCUCCGUCUGUGCAAUUAGUUUUAUAAUUAAUUCAUAUUUAGUCCUCCUAAUUAGUCUCCGAAUAUUUGAUGUGACACGGACUAAACUUUAGAUAGCACACCAGGGACCGACACCAUGCAUGCUGAUUUCAUAUCAUAAUUAAGGAAAGUGAUAUCAUAAUUAAGGAAAGUGGUAGCAUCCAAGAAAUCGAUCAUGUUUCUUCCCCCUUUGGCUUUCCUACUAGGAUUUGGAUAGCGGGCCUUCCUACUAGGAUUUGGAAUCCGCUAUCGCAUGACUAUCUUAAUUAUGUCCCAUAGUCCAAAACUCACAAAACAUCAAAAAUCCAUCGAGAAUAAAUUAAGUAAAAAACAUGCGCACACAGAUAAUAAUAAUAAUAAUCAUGUUUCAAUAAAAUUGCUAAGAUUAGAGAUAGUACAUAAACAUAUUAGAUUGUUCGUGACACAUAUCAUGGUGGAUAGUGUCUGUGUCCUUAUUACAAGCAGCGAUAGAUGCUUGUCACCACACACACGCACGCACAGAUGCACGACAUACAUAUAGUUGAGACCAACGGAUGGACGUCCCAUAGGGUGAAUAAUUUAUUGGAGAUAAAUAUUAACAUAACUUGGCCAUAGCUUGAAGCAUAGCAACAUAUGCUUAUGAAUGGCAUUCAUGCGGGUAGCAAUGCUAUCAUAUGCUUUUAGGCUUGUCCUUAGCUUCUUCCAUCUUAUAGCAAACACUGCCAUUUCUUCCAUCUUAGCAGCAACUGUCAAAUUAAUUGAGAUAUGGAAAUCCCAUUAGCGCAUGAGUUAAUUUUGCAGUGGAAAUAGAGUAGAAGAUGUCUUCAUAAUGUAAGUAAUAUGACUCUGACAUAGGGAGUGAAGUCAACAAAUUACAUUAACGGAAAUGCAUGGAAGGCCACGCAUAUGUAUUAGUCCGAUAUGCUACAAAGCUUGUAUGUACAUAUAAUAAAUUAAAUGCAUUGAAUAGAGUGAUUUUAGUGAAUUUACCUAAAUCGGAUUAAAAAACAUGGGAAACAACAAGUGUUCUUGUAGGGCUUUGUUUAGUUCCCAAAUUGGGAGUAGCAAAGUUUGCAUUUUACCAUAAAUGCGCAACUAUAGCAUGUAGCAUUUUGUUUGUAUUUGUGAAUUAUUAUCCAAACAUUGACUAAUUAGGCUCAAAAGAUUCAUCUCGCAAAGUACAACAAAACUGUGCAAUUAGUUUUUGAUUUCGUCUACAUUUAGUACUCCGUGCAUGUACCGCAAGUUUGAUGUGAUGGGGAAUCUUGCUUUUCAAUAGUGACAAAGUUGGGAUUUCGGGGGGAAGGCCUGUGUCGGAGCCACAUGCAAGAAUGGCUGACAUUGAGGCUCAGACAAAGCCCAAUGGCAACUGCUGACAUGCGAUUAAAUUUAGAUAUCCACAUCCAGCCAUUCACAUUUAUGAGAUAUGGACACGGUGCAAAUGGGUGGGGUCCUGAUAUGGAGGUGCGAAUGGCUGUCUACUUGUAUAGUGUAGCUCCAAUGUACGUAUAUGUAUCUUAUGCAUGUAUACAGUUGCACAAACUCUGAACCAACUCUUCAUAACAGGUCUUUGUUACCAAGUAACUUUACUUUUGCACGUUUCAGCCGAGAGGUAGAAGAGAAUAUUUUUGCAUUUUCCAUGUGCGUCAGUGGUAGAGAACUAGGAAUUAGUUCCGGAUGGUAGGGCACAAAUCUUCCAAACAACUAUCCGAAAUUAAGCAAUCGAGAUAAAGGGUGCCAUCUAUUCUCUCCGAAAAACACAGGUACCAAAAAGAAGAAGAGAAGAGGGAGGGCCUCCCGUUAAGGCCCGCUCGGGGUCUCCAUCCCACCACGCGCCCUCCCAACCCAAAGCCCAUCGUUUUCCCUCCGUCCCUCCCCUCUCCAUUGCCGCCGCCGCUCCCCUCAUCCGAGCUCGAUACGGGUGGUCGGCGGCCCCUCCUCUCCGCUCCCGCCCCCGGCCUCCCUUUGACCGCCGGGCGCCGGCAUCACUGCCGCGGCCAACCCCAGGGCGCAGCGCGUGCCUCUAUUUCUCUCCCCCGUUCAAGGGCCCUUUGAUGGCGACGAGCACCCACCCACCAGGUAUGCCCUCCCCUUCUCUUCCUAACCCUAAUAUAUUCGGAUCUCACCCAGUCACAAUAUAUUACCUAAUAGCUUCGAUUUUGUUUGCAAAAAUCAUCACGUGCGCACCCAUGUCCGCUAGAUUCUUGCGCCUGAUCCUGUGCUGCUAUGGUUUGGGCGGGGUAGACUAGUUGAUUCGUGCACUUUUGGGUGCUUGUAGUGCUAGGUUUUGGAGGGGGAUAGCCCAGUUGAUUCCUCCGUUUUGGGUGCUCAUGGUGAUAGGAUUUGGAUGGGGAUAGCCCCAAUGAUUCGUGCGCCUUUGGGUGCUGGGGAUAGUUUUGGGUGCCUGGAUAGUCCAGUUUCAAUGUCAGUAUAUGCGUAUUUUGGGGAGAAUUUUGUUUUGGGUGGUUCUGGUGCUAGAGUUUCUGAUGCUUAGUAGCCCAGUUUCAAUCAAAUUCCCCCAUGGGUCGUGCACUACGGGAAACAAGAAAAUUGCCGAGUGUAUUUUUUUUGUCGAGUGUUUUUUUUCGAGCACUCAGCAAACAAGCUCUUCGCCGAGUGCCAAGUCAAAAACACUCGGCAAAAAAAAACACUCGGCAAAUCGGGGCUUUGCCGAGUGUCAAAUAAAAAACACUCGGCAAAGAAGGGGGUUUGCCGAGUGUUAAAAAAAACACUCGGCAAACAGGAGGGUUUGCCUAGUGUUUUUUUGACACUCGGCAAAAAAAUAAUUGUUUUUCCUCUUUUCACCUUGAAAUUUUUUCUACUCCCCACAUACAACACGUGGUACUCCAUGUUAAAAUUUGGUAUAUUUUUGGAUUUAUUUGCUAUAUUUAUUUAAUUAAUUGCAUUACAAGGAAAUUUUUGGUAUAAGUCAAAUUUGAACUGCAAGUGAUUCAAAUUGUGGAACAAAAUGAGUAGAAAAAUGAUAUUCAUGUUAUUUGGCUCAAUUUGAGACCUGACCCAUGAAAUGAAAAGAAAUUUCGAACAUCUUGUUCAGGAAACACGACAAUGAACAUGUGGCGGUAGUAUUUUUAAAUUGUAAAAAAAACAAGCAAAGUCUGAAAAUCAUGAGAUUUGUAGUUAUGUGAUGAUAUAAUACGUGGAAGCUGUGGAAAAAAAUUGGAAAGGUUUUGCACAUUUCAUCAUGUACGAUGAUUACAAACCGAAGCAUAUCAGAAGAAGAAUAGUAACUUUGAGAAGGAUUCGAUAAAAUUUAGAGUCGAAGUGACGGUCGAGUUCGGUUUGACUACAAAACUUUUUGUAUAGUCAGUAGAGAACAUAUCUUAUUUCGUGUGAAAAUUUGGUAUUUUUUGAAACUGUUGGAUAUUUUUAAUUUUUUUUUAAAAAAACUUUGCCGAGUGUCCUAGGGUAGACACUCGGCAAAGAAAAACUUUACCGAGUGCCCGCCUAGGACACUCAGCGAACCUUUUUUUAAACCUACCGGCUCCGGCCGGCCCAGCCCACAAACACCACCCGCCCCCCGCCCCCGCGCCUUCUUCCUCACGCCGCCCCCGCCCCCCACCCGUGCCUCCGGACCGCCCCCUCCUCCCCCUGGCCUCCCCUCACGCCGCCCCCCUCCUCCCCUAGCUCCCUCCACCGGCGGCCCUCCCUCCCCCGGCGCACAUCCUCCACUCCUCCUCCCCUUCCCUUCCCUCCCCUCCCCUCCCCUCUUCCUCCCCUGGCCGGAUCUGGCGCCCCUAGCUCCCCUUUCUUCCGCGGCCAGAUCUGGCGCCCUCCCGGCGGCGGGUCGUGGCGAUCGGGGCGGCGGCGGCGGAUCAGGCCGCGGGGCGGCGGCGGCGGCGGGUCGUGGCUACCGGGGCGGCGCCCUGCCCCUCCCCUCCCUCUCCAUCUCCGGCUGCCGUCCACCCCCUCCCCGGAUCCGCCCCCCUCCCCUCCGCGCGGCCAGCCCCUCCUCCCUCUCCGGCCGCCGCCCCGGCCCCUCCUCUCCCUUUCUCCGGCCACCGCCCCGCCCAUCUUCUCUGGAUCCGGCCGGAUCCGGCCGCCGCACAGCCCCUCCUCCCCGGAUCCGGUGGGCGCGGACUUCGUGGUGGUGGCGCCGGAUCCCUCCCCUCCCUCUCCAGAUAACUCCCUCCACUCCUCCGCUCUUCCCCUCUCUCGCGCGGCGGCCUCUCUCCGGCCGCCGCCCCGCCCCUCUCCCCGGAUCCGGGGGGGGGGGGACUCCGCCCCUCUGCCCCGGAUCCAGCUCCCCGACCCGCGAGUGGGGCGAGCUUGCUCAUGCGGUCGACGUCGAGGCCAGGGUGUGGUGGAGGUGGUGGCCGGCGGGUGUGGUGGUGGUGGCGGCGGCGGGCAUGGCGGCGCGGAGGCAAGGCACGGCGGCCGGUGGGAGGCACGGGUGCAAGGCGUCGACGGCAGGAGGCAAGGCACGGCAGCAUGGGAGGUGGUGCUGUGGUGGUGGUGCUGGCGGUGGUGGCGGCGGCGGAGCAGGAUGUGGUGGUGGCGGAGGAUGUUUUUUUUUCAAAAAUUUGUUGCCGAGUGUUUUCUCGGCACUCGGCAAAGACUUUACCGAGUGCCCGACACAAAACACUCGGCAACUCAGUGUUUGCCGACUGAAAAAUUGCCGUGUGCCGUUUGCCGAGUGUUACACUCGGCAAACGGUUCGCCGAGGGUUUUUUGCCCUUCGCCGAGUGCCCCUAGCACUCGGCAAUUUCACUAUCUCCCGUAGUGGUGGCUGGACUUAUGGGGGGAUCAUUGAUGGGGGACUAGUUGGAUACUUUUUGGCUGUUUUGGGAGUCCUUGGCAGCGGCUUCUCAGGGCGUACGUAGCCCAUUGUAGAUUCCAGCCGAGAAGAUUAAGGAAUUGUGACUGCAACCAUGUUACUUUUCUAGGACUCUGUUUCUGAUAUUGUUCCCGCUGCAUCUUUUCAUCCCCAUGGUGAAUGUUGCUGUUGAUCUGUAGAUUGGAUUUGUUCCUCGGUAGCUUUAUUAGAUUUGUGCUGAAUGAUAAUCUCUGCCUGUGAUAUUUUUCUUCAUUGCGGAUGUGUGCCGAGUAUUAUCCCCUUUGUUCAUUCUGUUGGCUUUUUUUAUUGUCUCUGUACUCGGCUGUUCAGCUUGUGCAGCUAAUGAUCUAAUGUAUUUUGUCGUAACUAUGUAUUUUUCGGAUGUGUGCCGAGUAUUAUCCCCUUUGUUUAUUCUGUUGGCUUGCUUUCAUUGAUCUUAAGAUAACUGGUGCUAUAAAUUCACACUAGCUGAUGCACUUGCAAAUAGCUAUGUAAAUAUGAAAAGAAGUAUUUUUUUAUCCUUUUGUUUGUUUGGCAUCAUAUCUGUUUAAAUGGCAUAGCAAUAAGAAUUUUUUGUUUUUGGGGAAUCAUAUCUGCUUAAAUGGUAUAGAAAAUGCUGAGUGCACUGUCAAAUAGAUUUUCCAGCAGUCUGCUUUCAGUUGUUUUUGCAAAUCCUCACAGGCCAGUGAACUGACUUUGUUUUUACCACCCCAUGCCAUUUAAAUGACUAAAUCAGUCAGCCUAAUACUAUAUAUGGUCAUGCUAUGAUCUUAUUUCUUGAAGCUCUAUAGGUCAACCCAUAAGGGUAACUUAGUUUUUCCUAUUCUGGCUGGGGAAGUGGAUACGAUGGCUAUCCUUGGUAGAGUUAAAUACAUUGGCGGCUCUUAGCGCGCCAAUGUGGCACCACAAUAUCGAACAUAUGUAGAAACCCCCUUGUUUUUUCUCAUAUCCCUCUCUCUCAGCGUCCUCUUCUCUUCUUCUCCUCUGUCUCCUCCCCUCCCAUCGCGUGCUUUAUUGCGCCGCCGCCAUCCGCCUCCAUGUAUGAACACGUCGUUUGUCAUGAAGAAGCAGUUGAUGAGGCAAUCAAGCAUGUGGUGCACAAGGUUCUUCUGCUGGCCAAGUCCGAGUCGAACAGCCGCGCAUUCAUUGGGGAAGCACGCGCCAGGCAUCACCAGGCUCCUCGUGCCCCUACUCUGCUCCAAGGACUCGGUGCUUCGACGCGCUGCUUUCCCUGUCCGGCGAGCGGGGAUCGUUGGGAGAUGAUCGAUGGAGGAUGGAGCUGAUCCUCCUGUACACGGUGCCGGUGGGGAGCAGGGAGCUGCGGAGCAGGUCCACGGGCGGCGCCAUUACAGCAGGUGCAGGCUAAGGGUAAUGAGCAGAUCGAGGCGAUGGAGGAGGACCCGCACGAGGUGCAGCUUCUUCGCCUCCUGCGCAAAGUCAGCGCCCAAGCAGCCGCUGAGGGACAGGCCGAGGCUUAGCUCGAUCUCAUCCGACUAAAUGGUGGCUGCACUCCCACAGUCCCACUGGUGCUCCUCCCUUCUGUCCGAACCUGCCGAGGAAAUCCCUCGAUGCCAUGGGUCCCGGCUGGACGACUACUCCUCCCACAGAUUGACUGAGGAAGAAGAGCUUCUCAGUGUCCAAAAAUUCAGUUACACUGGAAACAGCAACCAAUUACGUUCUUCCGGCUCAGCCAAGCCCCAAUCUCCUUGCUUCUGUGCGCCCCUGCUAAAUAUUCCAGAAACCAAUCUGGUUAGUUGUUUUUUCACAUUUUCAGUGCAUGCCGGUGCUGCUGUGUGCGGCAUGCAUGGAGUUGUCGUGGGAGUGCACGGUGGCUUAGCUGGUGCGCCAGUGCGCGGGCACGAACACAACGGUGAAGAUGGCAGGGCCAUCUCAAAGCUCCUGAGCACCUGCACGCGUCGCUGAGCAGGACAUGCUGCGACGGUGGGCGAGCGCUGCUAACGCCCUGGGGAAGAGCAGUGGGUGCAGAGAGAGGGAGCGAGGGAGAGGGGUUCUUGUAUAUGUUUGCUAGCGUGGCACCGUUUACGGUGCCCGCCUAAGUGGCAUUCACGUGUCAUUCAUCCCAAAUGGUGUUGCAAGGUUGAACCUAUUGUGGGAGGCUUUUGGUUUCCCUUGACAGUAUCACCAGUGAUAUCACUGCGUUCUGGUUAUGUAUGAAACACUUGUCCUUUUAAAACCUUUCUGAAUUUAGAAACGAAUUUGAAACAUUACCCUCAUUUCCAUGUUUUUCUAUCUUUUGUCCCUGUAAAAUCAAACUAAAUUUGAAUUAUUAUGUUCAGAACUACAAGCUGAUUUACUUGUCCCAUUUGCUAAUAACAGGGCCUUGUGAUUUCUAAUGAACAUUGCAGAGCAUGUUAUAAAGCGUAUGCAUGAACACCAAGGGGAUGAAACCAUUGGUAUAUUUCUCACAACCUUUUGAACUUAUCAUUUAGCAUAUUUGUGUUCUAGUGUGACGUUUCAGCCACGAGACAUGAGAAAUGUUAGCUAUGGAUUUUGGUUAUUCAUCAUGGGUUCACAGAUUUGUUUUUCUCUAAAAGAAUUGGGAAGUAGCUUUCUUUCUGGGUAUAUGUGGGGAAAUGCAUAUGCAAUCUUUUAUUUAUUGAGGUGACUGUAAAAUUCUUGUCUGACUGAAUAUGCGAUUUCAACCUACAUGCUAUACUUAGGGAAAUUUGUGAAUCUCCUAAUGUCUGCUGCAUGGCAUGAAUGCAUAUUUUACUGGUCCAUAAUGUGAAGUUCUGUAUAUAAACUUCUCGUGUUGACCCUUUAGAACAUGCUAACUGGAGAGUUUUCUAGAGUAGUUAAACAAGAGAUUUAGUUAAAUCUGCACACAUAGGUGGGGCCUGGCAUACCCUAAGAAUCGGCCUAGCCGGUCAGCCCAUUAGUAAAAAAAAAAGCACCGCAGUCAGCAGUCCCCACGUUGGUCUUCCUCGAGUCGCGACUCGCGAAGCUCCCAUCCUCCGAGUCCAAGAUGGUGGACUGUGUCGAGCGCGGGGCGGGCGAUUAGUUGCCCGGCCGCCGGCGGGGGAUGGCCGGACGGCCAGAUCGCCGACUCCUCUAGUCCUCCCUCCAGCCUCUGCGCUUCUUUCACAGUGGAGCUAGCGGCGAGGCGCCCGACCGACACCCUUCUUCCCAAAUCCCGGCAGCCCUACCUCGAUUUGGCCUCCUCCGAUCAUUUGAUAAUCAAUUUGAUGAAAUUAAUAUGGAGUUGCUUUCUUGUAUGGUUGCCUUCAAUCCUGCUAAUUCAUUUGCUUCAUUUGAUGCACAAAAGAUACAUAGACUUGCUAUAUUUUUAUCCACAAGACAUCACAAGCACGGAUUUGCUAAAACUUGAAUUCCAGCUCGAUAUUAUAUUGAUGAUGUGAGAUAGGAUGAUAGUUUCAAAGGCCUACAAGAUCUUGUUAACUGAGACUCAGUUAAGCUUGUUGAAACAAACAGGCAUAAUAUUUAUGACUUGGUUUACUUGCUUCUCAAAUUGGUAUUGGUUCUUCUUGUGGCGACAGCUAGUGUUGAAAGGGAUUUUUGUGCAAUGACUUUGAUCAAGAGUAAGCUAAGAAAUAAGAUGGGUGAUAGUCUUUUGGAUGAUUGUCUUAUCACAUUCAUUGAGAAAGAUAUUUUCUUUGAAGUGGAUGAAGAAGAUAUAAUUAAGACUUCAUAUCCAUUAGAAAUCGUAGGCUGGAGAAGAAGUAAUAUUUUAAUUUUCUUUGAACGUUAGGUCUGUAAGCUUCUUUUAAACUAUCUACAUUAUAAUUUAUGGACCUUUUAAUUUAACCGUUGAAUUCAUGAUAUUAUGAGAUUUUUUUAUCUAUGUUAUUAUUGUUUACCGAUUUAUUACCAAAUUAUUAGUUUGAUCUUACAAUAUUGUAUUUUGGAUGAUUGGCUCGGCAUACUCUAAGUUUAAAUCCUAGCUCCGCCACUGUUUGCACAUUAAUGUGGCUUAUAUGUGUGGAGUCACUUAACCUAUGCACUUGGACCUCCACUCCCUUAGGUUUUAUGAACCUAAUUUGACAGCCUGCUCGUCUUUUAUUUUCUACCAAUCAGCUAGGAACGAACAUGGUGAUGUUUGCAUCUCUGCCAUCAAUGGCUUACAUGUCAUUAUGUAUCACAUUAGCAAGUCUUGUUUUGUUAUUGGCUGGGAUGACGGGGACUCUAGCUGGAAUUGAAUCAAAGUGGUAGAUCACAGGGUAUUCAUUGCCAUGUAUUUCUGCAGUUGCAUGGACUUGCAUCAAACGGACCUUCCUACUUAUGUGAUUGUCCUAUAUGAUCUCCUUUGAUUUCAUUUGCACACUGUAAUCACAUUAGCUAGAACACUCGCUUUUUGCUUCAAAUUUGAAAUUCAUAUCAUGAUGGACUAGAACGCUGAAUUUCUUGAUUGCUGAGUUACUAAUCACAUUGUGGCGCUGCCAAAGAAGCUGGACUCUUCAUUGUUGUUGCCUUGUGGGCUGCCGUGUGCAAAGAACAAGAGCGCACGGUAUUAUAAUAGCAGAGCAGAACACAGACAAGCGACAAGGAGCGGAGCAGAGCAGAGCACAGCCAGGCACAAGCAGUAGAGUAGAGCAGAGCAACCGGGAGAGGAGAGGGCACAUAUGCAGAGUAGAGCAGAGCCAAGCGCAAGCAUUCAUGCACUCAAGCAUGCAGCAGAGGUGUAGCAAGGCAAGCACAAGCAGCAGAGCAGAGGGAAGGGAAGGCUGGGAGAUGAAUAGGCGAAUAGUUACCUGGACAGAGCAGAGGGAAUGGAGAUGAUGCAGAUGCUUCCGGAGACUCGAGAUUUGGAGAGGAACAAGGCCACGUUGUGAACAAGGUCUCCUUUCUCUUCUCUAUUUCCCGCGCAAGUACUUGUGCAUAGUGGCUGCCUCAUCCUCCAGGACGUCCACUUCAACCUGAGGCGGGUGCCACAGACAUCCUGGCUAUGCGACGGCUACCCCCAGCACACCCCCGGCGCCUAUGAACCAUGAUCCUAAUACUAUAAAUUGUCAACCUUGUAAUCUUAUUUCAAGCAUGCUCUCUAUGUCAACCUGUAAGGUUAACUUCGUUUUUCCUUUUCUGGGUAGGGGAGUGGAUAUUGCUGUUAUUUAUAUUAUGUUGAUAUUGGUUUCCACAUGUCAUUCACCCCAAAUGUGUUGCAAGGUUGAACCUAUCAUCGGAGGAAUUUUUUUCCCUUUACCUUUAUAUCACUACGCUCUGGUUAUGUAUGAAACACUUGUCUUCUUAAAAACCUUAAUUUAGAAACAAAUUUGAAACACUAUCUUCAUUUACAUCCUGUAUGUGUUUUCUACCUUUUGUCCUAUAUGAUCUGCUUUGAUUUGAUUUGUGCAUAGUUUUUUCAAUUCAGACCUGGUGAUUUCUGAGGUUCAUGUUGUGCUGAUAAGCAGCCUACUAUUCAGUAACACUUUCAUGUGGCAUGUUCAUGUUAGCUAGCUAGAAACACUGCUUUUAGCUUCAAAAUUCAAAUUCAUGACAUGAUGGACAUUGACAAUGAAUUUCUUGAUUGCCGAGCUAUGUACACUGUAAUUCAGACCUGGUGCUUUUAGUUUUUUUCUUGAUUGCCGAGCUAGAAACACUGUGCUUUUAGUUUUUUCAAUUCAGACCUGGUGAUUUCGGUUUUUUCAAUUCAGACCUGGUGAUUUCUGAGGUUCACGUGUCACACCGAUUUUAAGAACAAAAUCGAGUGCAUUAAAUAUACAUGUACGCUAGGAUCAGGUUACACACAUGUACGACAUAAGCGAAUAUCAAAGACAAUGCCAUAACGAAAUAAAGAGAGUAUUAAUCAUUAUUACAUGACCGAAAGUCUCAAAUAAACCACAAAAUCUAUUUAUUACAUAGCGGAACUUCUAAGAUAGCAACGUCUCCACAGGCAGCUGACUGAAGAACUGUAUGCCUAGAACUCUUCAAAAUCGUGCAGGUACUCCUCCAGAUUAGCUUGGUAUGAACAACGGUUUUGCAAGGGUGAGUACACUUAUGGUUGGUACUUAAUAAGUCGUGGGAAACAAUGUAGUGUAAGGCAAAUCAAGGUAUGGCUAAGGCUUAAACAGCAUCAGCUUUUAAUUUAGUUGGUCAAAUUUUAUUAGCAAUUAAUUAGACGUAAAUUUAUACCACCCGAAAUUAAACAAGAACAUGAAUAAAAUAAUAACAUAACCAUAAAUGAAAUGACAACAAUUUAAAUCCAUCUUUUCAUAGCAUUAUCAUGUGAGGGUCCAGUCCGUUCUUAACCGUGAGCACCGCUGAUCGAUCAGUUUUACACUCUGCAGAGGUUGUACAUCUUUACCCACAAGUCGCGUAAAAGUUCAAAAGAAUUUUGGACCCAACCAUGCGGUAUUUGCAAGGCACCAUACCACACUUCCAAGGUGUGAUUGCAUAUGAACGCUACGAGGCCUUUACAAAGAUUCAUUAGUAAGUGGUAACCCGCUAAGGUUUCGGUAUUUGGCGUGCACAACCUAUCACAGGCCGCUAAUGCAACGACUCAGUCCCCCCUCUUGCCUCAUCACGAGUAAGAUUACCCCAGACUAAGGUUUCUAAUUAUUCAGCCAAGAUCAGAACCAUUUAGUCUUGUGGUAGCACUGUUUUCCUGGGUGGUUCUCCAUGUUCCGAUUAAACAUAAUGGUCUUGUAUUAAUGGAAGGUAUAACAUAAAUAAUACCAAAUUAAUAAUAAUUCAGAUUAAAUCACCAUAACCAUAUUUGAGCACUAAGCAUGAGCUACCCAACAUAAAUUUAACCCGGUUGGUCAAGGCAAGGUAGAUAAAGUCUAGGAAAUUCUUAAUUGGGACCCAUCAAGUUUAAAUUAUACUUUGCAUGGUAUGUUGCAUAGAACAUGAAAGUAAAUGUGAAUAGGACUGAAAAGGAGUGAUUAGGGACACGACUUGCCUUUUUAACCUUGUUCUUGCUGUUCGUACUCUUCGAAAACUUUGAUCUUCAAAUCCCUUGAACUGCUGACCGUCUACACGCGUCACACGACCACAUACAAGCAAACAAAUAUAAUACAUAAGAAAACAGUACACCAAUCAUAAUUAAAUAGAAGAAACAAAUUUGAAAAGCUAUUCUACGCAUUAAAACGAAAACACGGAUACAAGGAACGUUAAAAACGGAGCUACAGUGCAAAAACUACGCUUAAAACAAGAUGCAGGGGUAUAACUACGAGAAACCAAACUUCCAGGGAUUUAAUUUUAAAUAAUUUUGAACUGCAGAAGGGGCAGCAGGGCAAAACGUAGAAAAUGCAGGGGCUUAAGCGCAAAAGCAUGGCUGCUGACUCAGCUGACUUGAUGUGGAUCGUCGGAUGGCGAUCCGGCGGCCGGCAGCUGCUGCGCUGACGUCAGCGACGGCGAGCGCCGGCGAAAAACGGCAGUUCGCCGGAAUCGCCCGGGAACGCGCGACUGGGUGCAGAUUUGAGCGAGGAUUAGACUAGCAGAUAGAAACGAGCGCAGUGAACUCAUUUGGGAUGCCUACGGCGAGGACUUGGCGACGGCAUCGGCUCCGGCGAGAACUUGCGGCAGGGAAACCAAAUAAAAUAAAAUAACACGGUUCAGAGAAGCGGCGCUGGAGGAACGCGAGCGAUUUUGCGUGCGAGCGGAAGAAAACACUGCGAGGAAGAUGACUGCGGGCCCUGCUUGUCUGCGGCAGGAGGAGAGCUGCGUGCGAGAAGAACCUGGCCACGAUCUGGGCCGUUGCCUUCGAUCUGGGCCGAGGCAAGCUAGCUGGCCCGCUGCUGCGGAAAGGUGCUGGGCCACGGGCGGAGCACAGCGUCGGGCCAGAAAGGAGAUGGCUGCUGCGAGGAAACAAAAGAAAAUGAACUGGGCUGCGACAGAGGAAAACUGGGCGUCGGCCAGAAAGAAGCUGCGUGCAGCUUGCUCUUGUUUCCGAACUAGAAACAGGAACUGACGGAAAGACAGAAAUCAAUUGGAGACUGAAACUGACGCCCCAGACUCUGAACUUCGAAAAAACAGGACAACCAGCCAACUGACAGAAAAAAAAAAGCUUAACAACCCAAAAGCAGUACACAACCACGAAACCAGGCCACAAGACUGAAAAAGCUUGAUAGGAACAUCUGGCGACUGAACCAAAAAACUACAGAACUGCAACUGAAGAACUAGAGAACAGAUAAAUAACUGAUUGAACUCUGAAACUGAAACACCAAAGAGCAGGAAGCUGACUGACGGAAAAUGCAAAACAGCAACCCAAGGUGAAACACAAAUUCUUCUUCAAGCAUUCAAACAAAGAGAUAUGCAACAGCAUGAAUGCUCAAUAAAAUCCUAUAUUUCAUUAAUUAAUUAGAAAAAAUGCUCAAAUGCCUAGAAAAAUGCAAAAGUGACCUUAUAUGCCUUAAACAAGCAAAUUCGUUUCUAGCGAUUUUUGGUAAAAUGCAAAAUUAGAGAUUUUGGGUGUUACAUCAUGUUGUGCUGAUAAGCAGCCUACUAUUCAGUAACACUUUCAUGUGGCAUGUUCAUGUUAGCUAGCUAGAAACACUGUGCUUUUAGCUUCAAAAUUAAAUUCAUGACAUGAUGGACAUUGACAAUGAAUUUCUUGAUUGCCGAGCUAUGUACACUGUAAUCACAUUGUGGGGCUGAUAAAAUAAGCAGCGUUGAGACACAUAACAAUUGAAUCUUAAGCUUCACACAGAAUCUGGACCAGUCAUCCUCAUUCCUGUCAUGCUGGAAAUGUCUUUGAUACAUUUCAAUCACAGGCAAUUGAAUUCGUACUGGGGAGGAUGGCAAUGGUGCAUGAAGAGAGAUCAAUGUGGCAAAUCUCACAUUGUUCAUUACCAGGUAUCUCCGAUUUCUGGUUAUUUUAAAUUUACCUUGACAUGUGACUUAUUGAGGUAUUGUAUUUCAUCUAAUGGUAGUUCUGAAUUUAUGGUAACCUUGGAUGGGGUUUGUCACUUUAUACACGCACGGACUUACAAAGGACAGCAAAUGAGUAUAUUUAGAGGGCUCCUGUCCAACCAUGGACUAUACUUAUGUACCCUUUUUUGACAUGGUAAUUUGAGGUUAAUGGAAAAGUAGCGAUAGUCGCCUCCAGCGAAGCUACCUUCUUCGAAAGCUCCGAGGCUGCUUUCUCGCUCUUAGCAAGCCGAUCCCUCGUAAUCAUCGAAGAGUAAGAGACCUACAGAUUUUAAAAACCAAGUUACCAAAAAUAACGAAGUAAAAGACAACACUCGCAAGACAAACCACCAAACUAUCUCAUAAUUGUACCUUCUUUACGAGGUUCGCCUCCAAGUUAAAGAGCUCUUCCAAGAUCAUUGACUUCACAGCUUGCUGAAAAUCUAUGCGCCAAAGGAUAUAGUCGUAAGCAUAAAAUAAAAAUUGGUAAAAACCAAGGACAGCAAAGCCAUCUACAAGCUGUUCUUACCCUCAUACUUUCGCACCUCAACGGCGAUCGGAACAACCUUCUCUCUAGCCUCGCCCUUAGACGCCACCACAAUCUUCCCGCCACACAAAUCCACAACCCCUCCUUUACCUUUGCCCUCUCCCGAAGUCGUCGUGCCCGCCUUCUCCACCCUUUUUGAACCGCCAACAUCUGCAUAGCGCUCGCAACCUUCACCUUCAGCCCCCCAGACCAAAGACAGGUUGUGAGGAUUAUAAACCCUACCUUCGGCGCAUGUAGCUAGAAUCUCCGUGCGCCCGCUCAAGCCCAGACACUCAUUCAGUCCCUGAAGCCCCGCCGGCAACCUCUCACCUACAUCAUAACAUUCAACUUUUAGCCUCACAUGAUCCUCACAACUAACCUUACCAACGCCCCCCAUAGUUUCUUCCAAGUCCUUCAAAAAUUUCGUUGAGGCCUCACCACAAUCAAAGAACCGUAGCAUCGAUAGAAACACCUCUACAUGCUUACCAGAUCUCACAGCUUCGGCACACCCACCCUUUGGAUCAGAUGAGAACGCAUCCACAAGCUUCGCCUUUUCGGUGGCAAACCCCCUCUCAAGUUUCCCAACAUCAGUCAAGAGAUGUUGCGCGCUCUUAAACUUCGAGCUUAUGGAAGGCACCGUGAUCUUGGUACCAGCUGCCGAAGACGCGUCAACCUUGGCACCCGUAACAGUAACAGGAGCAAAUCGAGGUUUCUUGGCGCCUCUUUUGAUCCGUGCGGCGGGCCCGGUGGAUGAAGGUGCAAGAGCUGGAACCUCCUUAGGAGGGCGCAUAGAGACAGGAACAACAUAUGCCGGAUUGCUCAAGUCGCCAGACGAAGCUGUCGACCACGAUGGCAACAUAGCAGACGAAGCCCCCGCGGUCAUUUCCUUCCUUUUUUGCGCCUCCAAAUUCAAGGUCUUUUGCUUCGCCUUAGCGGUCACUUGCAAUUCAAUAGUGAGCUUCACCAUGGGUACGAAGUCAAAUUUUGCCUUUUUCCUCUGCUCAAGACUAGCACCGCGACGGCGCCUCUUGCCCGUAACUUUGGGGUGAGGCAGAACCACAAUAUCAUACAAGUCAAAAAUCUAAGAUGAUGACAUUCCAUUUGUAUCCAUGAUUUAUAUUGUGUUCCUUGAAUAUCCAUUAAAGUCUACUUGAAUUGAUUUGCAAUUAUGUGAAUUGUAUGUGAAACUCUUUCCUUGUAUGGUUAUUCUAAAGUUGUCCCUAGUCGGAGUUCAUGUGAGGACACAUGAAUAUUAGACUAGCACAUGUAUUAGUUGAUGACUAUGUUUCACAAGUCAUGGACAUGAAGAUGUGGAACUAAUAAUGUGGGCACAUGUGGAGACACGUGCUAGGACUGACCCAACACGAGAAGUAGUUCUCUCUUUAUACAACAUAUACGCUUUGUCCUUAGACCUGAGAUUGUCGCAUGUACUCAAGAUGUGGAUCGACUUACUUAGGGGCUAUCAAAUUCUACGCCGUAACAGGGUAGUUAUAAAGGUAGCUUUCGGGUUUGUCAAGAAGCAUGCUAUGAGACAUGGUCAAUCAAGAUGGGAUUUGCCCCUCUCUGAUUGAGAGUGAUAUCUCUGGGCCCCUCGAGUGAUCGGAUCCGAAAAUGCAUGGCCAUGCUACAUACGAUUAAGAGUUAGCCUACAAAAGGAUUCCGAAUCAUAGGAUCGAGAAAGAGCGGUCGGCUUGAAGCUAGACCAAAUAUCGUGAGGCAAAGGGAAUAGCAUGUAUAUAAUGUUGUGAUGGUUCGUCUGAUAUGAUCUUCGUGUGCGUAUAGGAGUUGGCACGUCUUGCUAGAGGUCGCUACCGACUAUUGGGCCGAGUAGGAGUACUCAGGCCAUGUCUAUACGUAUCCGAACCCAUAGGGUCACACACUUAAGGGGCUGGAAGCCCAAUUCGGAUGUGAUCCGAAUUGGAUUAGGUUUAGAAGUACUAAUGGGCCUUGGACCUAGAGGCCCGUUAGGAACCUCUAUAAAUAGAGGGGUGGGGGCGCCCUAGGGUUUACACCUUUUUGGUGAAACACAUCUGCCGCGCCUCCCACGCCUUCGCCUGUUGCAACUCGCGGACCUAGCAGUCCGGCUUGCGACGCUUCCUCCCUGCACGUGUGGAUACCUUGGAAGUGUUGCUCCUGCAGCACUUGGACGAGCCGCCAACGAGCCACGACGAGCCACGAUGAGCCGACGAUGAGCCGCGGCACGAGGGGGAUCUUGCUGCACGUGGACGAGCUGCUGAGGAGCUGCUGGACGUCGAUGUGUUCGACUACGUACGACUACGCUGAUCGACUUCGCUGCAUCAACGCGAAUCUACAUCUUCCGCAUCAUUGCAUCGAGUGGUAAUCCCGUGAUCCUGAUACGGCAGUUUUCCUAGUUUACGCGGUAGAAAAUUUUGUUUUGUGCUAGUGUAGCCUAACUCAUAUCCCAACAACGUGUGCUAUAGGUCACGCAAGCCUGAAAAUGGCCACACCGGACACCGGGUACGAAAACAUGGGGGAUGGACCGAACAUUUGAAAAUGGCCUCCAUAUGUGUUUUCGGCUAUGAAAAUGUGUGUUAUAGGUCACAGAAGCUUGAAAACGGCCGCACCAGCCACUAGGGACGAAAACGUGGGGGAUGGACCAAAGACAUAAAAAAUAGCCUCCAGACGCGUGUUCGGCCAUGAAAACGUGUGGUAUAGGUCCUGGAAGGCCAAAAACAGCUACACCGGCCACCUGGGACGAAAAAGUUUGUGUAAGACCGAACACUUGAAAAUAGCCUCUGGACGCGUGUUCGGCUAUGAAAAGGUGUGUUAUAGGUCACACGAGCCCCAAAACAACCACAGCGAACACCAGCUACAAAAACAUGGGGGAUGGAUCGAAUAAUUGAAAAUGGCCUCCAGACGUUUGUUCGGCCAUGAAAUCGUGCGUUAUAGGUCGCGGGAGCCCGAAAACGGCCACACCGGCCACCGGGAAUGAAAAUGUGGGGGAUGGACCGAACAAUUAAAAAUGGCCUCCGGAUGUGUGUUCGGCCAUGAAAACGUAUGUUAUAGGUCACGGGAGCAUGAAAACGGCCGCACUGGCCACUGGGGACGAAACGUGGGGGAUGGACCGAAGACGUGAAAAUAGCCUCCAGACGCAUGUUCGGCCAUGAAAAUGUGUGCUAUAGGUCAUGCAAGGCCAAAAACAGCUGCACCAGCAACCGGGGACGAAACCAUGGCUGUCAAACCGAACGCUUGAAAAUCGCCUUCGGACGCGUGUUCGGAUAUGAAAACAUGUGUUGUAGGUCACGCGUGCCCGAAAACGUCCACAACGGACACCGGGUACAAAAACGUGGGGGAUGGAUCGAAUAACUGAAAAUGACCUCCGAACGCGUGUUCGGCCAUGAAAACGUGUGUUAUAGGUUGCGGGAGCCCAAAAAUGGCCACACCGGCCACCGAGGAUCAAAACGUGGGGGAUUGACCGAACAAUUAAAAAUGGCCUCCGAUUGUAUGUUCGGCCAUGAAAACGUGUGUUAUAGGUCAUGGGGGCCCAAAAAUGGCCGCACCAGCCACCAAGGACGAAAAUAUGGGAGAUGGACCAAAGACAUGAAAAUGGCCUCCAGAUGCAUGUUUGGACAAAAGUGUGUGCUAUAUGUCGUGCAAGGCCAAAAACAGCUACACCAGCCACCGGGACAAAAACGUGGGUGUUUGACUAAACAAGUGAAAAUGGCCUCCGGAAGCAUGUACGGCUAUGAAAAUGUGUGCUAUAGGUAAUGGAAGGCUAACAAAAGCUACACCGGCCACCGGGGACAAAAUCAUGGGUGUCAGACUGAACACUUCAAAAUGGCCUCCGGACGCGUGUCCGGCUAUCAAAACGUGUGUUAUAGGUCAUGCGAGCCCGAAAACAACCACACUGAACACCGGGUACAGAAACAUGGGGGAUGGACUGAAUAACUGAAAAUGGCCUCUAGACGCGUGUUCGGUCAUGAAAACAUGUGUUGUAGGAUGCGGGAGCCCGAAAACGGCCACACCGGCCACCAGGGCAUGGACCAAACAAUUGAAAAUGGCCUCCGGAUGUGUGUUCGGCCAUGAAAACGUGUGUUAUAGGUCACGGGAGCCCAAAAAUAGCCGCACCGACCACUGGGGAUGAAAUCGUGGGGGAUGGACCGAAGAUGUGAAAAUGGCCUCCAGAUGCGUGUUCGGCCAUGAAAACGUGCGCUAUAAGUCAUGUAAGGCUAAAAAUUGCUACACCGGGACUAAAGCAUCCCCCAUGAGUUACAAUAAAAGGAUUGUAUCCUCUACUCAGUCGGAUGUACUGUGUAGGUGAGAUGGUAAGGAAGCUAUGCGCGAGGUUUGAGGUUGUGGGUUGAAAUCCUACGCACCGCGCGCACACGCGCAUAUUUUGUGUGAAAAAUCAUGUGACUUGUGAUCGGCCAAGGAGAAGUGGGUGCAGCUGUGGCUUAAGUGGCUGAGGCACGCUGCCAUAGACAUCUCCGAUUUGCUCGAAGACUACCAAGACACUAGCAAUAACAAGAACUACUGCUCUUCCUAGCAGACUCUUUACAACCACUUUAAAGCUGUGCAUUUCUCAAUGUAAUUUCGUAGAAGGCAAUCGAUCCAACCAAGCGACUAAAUCAUUUGUUCUUGCCAAUGAUGUACAUCAGGUUUUCUAUAUGAAGGACAUGUCUAGCAAACCUAAGAUUUUAGAAGAAAAAGAAAAAUUAUGGGAGUCAAUAAUAAAUCAGGCCAAUCAGGAGAUUAUAGUAAGCUCGAUGGUAUGCCUCCAUUCGAUGUCGAAGUUGGCCCAAGCAUCAUGUUAGCCAAAGAUCAAAUGUUCGUGCAUUGCUACGGUAAAGAUCAAUUGUGUCUUUUAAACCCAUGGAAUUUUUUAUCUAUGUUUUUAUUACACUUAAUGGAUGUCUACACAUUUGCUAGAAAAUCAAAAUAAUUUUGACUUAAUUAUUUCUUUCAACUCAAAUACUCAUUAAAUUUCUACCUUUUUAUUUAAGCAAGAGAGUUGCUCAAAAAAUGGAUACGUAACCAUGUUGUAUCAUACAAAGCAACCACAUUUCACAUAUAGUCUGGCUUAGCAAACACCAUUGUUGUCUUAACAUAGUGUUCAUGAGUUAGUAGACAUGGAUCUAUUUCUAAUUGCAAGUAGUGCAGCGUACAACCAGCCUGCACCGCCGCAGCUCAAUAUGCGAUAAUUUUUUAUCUUCCCAUGUAAUUUUUCUACUCUAGUACAUAUUGAACUCCACAUAAAUGUCAUGUUCUUUCACGCCACAGACGGUUUCUAAAGUUUGGAACUAAAUAGAUAGCCAAAAAUUUUAAAAAAAUAUUUAUAUGGAUACAUGUAUGUUCUUUGCAAACUAACAAUAUUGUUUACAAUAUCAAAAGGAAUAUGGCUAUGAUCAUUGCCGCAUAUGGCAGGUGAUGGUAGAUGCCGUAUGGGGUUUCUUUAACUUAAUUGUAUAAUAAGCUGAAAUACAUUUUCUAUUUGCAAAUGAAUCAUAGCUGAAAGUGGUGGGAUUGUAGAACCGCCGGCCAUCGUGUCCUUGUAGGACCGCUGCACGAGCCUGUGAGCCACCAGCCACCAUGCGCCCAAGGGCCAUCACCACGCCAUAAGAGGAUGCUGUCUACCCGGUUUCGCGCGCCUGUGCUAGCUGCCUGAACCUGGGCCGCCGCCGGUCGCCUGCCCAGCCGCGCGUUGCGCCAGGGUUUUGCUGGUGACGACCAUGGCCUUCGCGAUCAAAUUAAAAAGUUAUCAACUGCAAAGUAUUAGGUCUCGUUGAGCUCUACAAUUUUGAUAUAAAGUUUCUAUUCAUCCGAGAUCAAAUAAAAAAUUUGAUACUCAAAGCAUAAAUCCAUUAAUCUAGUCUUGCUAAUCCUUACCACCAAAUAAAAAACUAGCAUGUGUUGUGUGUUUGUGACCCUAAACGAUCACAAAUGAAUAACUUAUGGGCCUUGCUAGCGCCCGGAUGUCCAGGCCGGGGCACUAGCAUCAGACCCACGAGUAGCCGUCCGAUCAGGUUCGACACCACUUCAGGAUCUGGCUUAAAAAGAAGUCCCACCGAAACAUUGUUCCAUGUUGCAUGAAGCAACCCACUACCGUCGCCAGGUCUAGAGCAAGCACCACCUUCAAAUGUGCUGCUCACCCUAGCUAAAUAGGGGCAUUAAAAUAUUUCUCGCAUAUCCUUCUCAAAUUAAACAAAAUCGCAACAUCUGAAAAUUUUUACAGAAAACCAUGAAACAUAUCGAUUAGAUAGAUGUAACAAGAUGGAAUAUGGUAUAUGCAACAUAUAGGUUCCGAAAAGCAGAUGAAAUAUUAUGUAAUGAUUCUUGAAACAGUCAAGAAAAAUAGAUGUAACAUCUAAAAUUAAGAAAAGAAGCUUUAUGCAAAUUGCAAAAAGCUGAAACAAGUGGUUGAAACAUUUCAAAUCACCAAAUGCCACAUUUGAAAUGACCAGAUGAAACAUCACGAAAUCAAUUGCAACAGUUGAAGAUGAAAACAUUCAAAUGCCUUGCCUUUCUCCAAAUUUGACCCUCCAAGCAUGAGUCCAGCCAUUUGCACAUUAGACCCUUGGGAGGAGCUCACCGGAGAACAACAAGACCGUGUUAUCCAACAAUUUUCAGAUCAAAUUGCAACAUAAAGAACAAAGCAUUGCAACAUCUGGCAUCACGAGCUACAACAGCAACCAGUUAGGAUCAGGAGAAAGAGGGCAAACACAAGCCUAACAAUGAGUUAUAUCCGGUUUAAACAAGGAUAAAAAUGAGUGUAUUUUACACUCAUCAUGUUGUCUUUUCGCAGCUGUACCGCCUUUAGCGUGUUGUAUUGUUCCUAACACCAAGUCUCCGAGGCCCGAAAAAAUAAGGAAAGUGGUAGCAGCUCAGAAAUCGACUAAGUUUCUUUCCCCCUUUGGCUUUCCUACUAGGAUUCGGAAUCCUCUUUCGUAUGACAAUCUUAAUGAUCUCCCAUAGUCCAAAACUCACAAAAACAUCAAAAAUCCACCGAGAAUAAAUUAAGUAAAAAAACAUGCACACACAGAUAAUAAUAGUAAUCAUGUUUCAUUAUGAUUGCUAAGGUCAGACACAAUACAUAAACAUAUUAGACUGAGUGACCCACCUCACCUCAGAGUAUGCACCAUGUCUGAGUGACCCACCUCACCUUGCCAGGACACUGGUCCUGCCCUCGUGGUUCACGCGCCCUCGUGGUUCAGCAGUGGUCAGUACACAAAUCUAGCUGCCAGUCGGAUCCAAGGGCAGGCAUUUGCAUUGUGGUUGUGUUUGAACAUGGAGAUGUCAUUAUUAUUGUCAGGCACCAUACAUCCUCUCUCAGUUUCACUCCGCCUCACACACGGAUAGCACACCAGGGACCCGACACCAUGCAUGCCGAUUUCAUAUUAUUAAUAUUUAAUUUUUUUAAUGGUUGUUGAAACUAUAUUGUUGAUAUUUUUAUACAUAAUUUACGACCUAAUUUGGAUAUAUUUUUGAAAUAUUCCGAAAUCUUAAAUUCACACGUCUAGAGAUACAGUUAGUCCAAUCUGAUGUUUCCGAUUAUAAAAAUGAACAUAAAGAGAUAGGAAGCGAGAGACGUGAGGGGGAAAGUUAAAUUAGGGCCUAAGGGGUGAAGUUAGGGUUCCAGGUGAGCUGUCAUCACUACGUGUUUUUAAUCGAAAUUGGAAUGUCAGCAAUCGUCAGAUCUUGAGCCAACAGUUGAGACUGCCUCGGAAUGGUAAUUAGGUCUGCGCGAGCUUGCAUUGUGGCCUUCCUUGAAACCUUGGACAUAGGUGUUAUAUUAUUAUGUUCUUGCCAGCACACAGCAGUGAAGGACGACACAGUUGAGAUGUGCAUCACAUUUUCUAUAUGAAGGAUAUGUUUAGCAAACCUAAGAUUUUAGAAUAAAAAGAAAAAUCAUGGGAGCCAAAGCGCCACAUAGUUCUUCCAGGUAAAAAAAAAUCAUCCACUGGACCAGCACAUAGUAACGAUCCAAAAAGUCCAUAUUAAGAUUUUUUGAUAGCAGAAAAAACAUAAAAUGUCUAAUAUUUGUAGUAUUAAAAGGAAAAAUAAUAUAUUCACGUGACCUUUUUCCCGUAGCAAGGCACCGGUACGUGGUCAGACUUAAUGCACGAUGCCUAAGCAUCCAUUGGGCCUACCCUCGUGUGGAUCACGCGCAACAGGACACGGCUCACAAGCUAUGAUGUGCAGCAGUCGCUCAGAUGGCUGAAAGGUACCCUUAAUUUGAAUGGUACCAUAUAUAUAUAUAUAUAUAUAUAUAUAGUAAACAAGACAAACCACCGUUGAUACUACUUUGCACUACUUGAUACAUAUAUCUCCACCAAAAGCGAGGCACGUGGGGAGGAGAGAUAUGUGGUUGAUGGUGCGGGCACGUGGCGAGUGCACCGUACGAAAAUUUUGCUCGUGUCGGACGACUGAUGUGAAGCAUUACCCAAUCUUAAUUAUCUCCCAUAAUCCAAAACUCACAAAAACAUCAAAAAUCCGCCGAGAAUAAAUUAAGUAAACCAUGCACACACAGAUAAUAAAAUUGCUAAUAAGGCCAGAGACAAUACAUAAACAUAUUAGACUGUUCAUGACACAUAUCACGGUGGAUAGUGUCUGUGUCCUUAUUACAAGCAAUGAGAGAUGCUUGUCACCACACACACGCGCACAGAUGCACAACAUACAUAUAGUUGAGACCAACAGAUGGAUCAACUAGAGGUCACCCCAUAUGGUGAACAAUUUAUUGGAGAUAAACAUUAACAUAACUUGGCCAUAGCUUGAAGCAUAGCAACAUAUGCCUAUGAACGGCGUUCAUGCUAUCAUUUUAGGCUUGUCCGCUUCUUCCAUCUUAGCAAGCACUUCCAUUUCUACCAUCUUAGAAGCAACUGUCAAAUUGAGAUAUGGAAAUCCCAUUAGCGCAUGAGUUAAUUUUGCAGUGAAAAUAGAGUACAAGAUAUCUUCAUGAUGUAAGUAACAUGCCUGAAGUUGUGAGAUGGGAAGUGAAGUCAACAAAUUACAUUAACGGAAAUGCAUGGAAGGCCACACAUACGUAUUAGUCCAUGAUAUGCUACAAAGCUUGUAUGUACAUAUAGCAAAUUAAAUGCAUUAAUUGAAUAGAGUGAGUUUAGUGAAUUUACCAGAAUCGUCCAGAAAACAUGGGAAACAGCAAGUGUUCUUGCAGACUGCGUCGGUGCCACCCACAGCAAUACAACCAAAACAACAUGCUUUUGCCCGAGCGGCUGCGCAGCAGCCGCACUCUGCCGCGGUGGCCGAGUUAGCAUUGAGGCUCAAGAUGACCAGGCACAUGAUCACCAUCAAAGCGGUGGUAGUCCUCUUUCCCUCCAUUGCCUCCUCUUGCUGCUACCUUCCUUGGUUACCUAGCUAAGUUUAUUGGUUUUGUGUUGAGAGGUGAUUCUUGCAUUGAAUGGACGUUGCCGCGGCUGCAAUUUAUAGGCAGCUGCGCUAUGUGAUGAUAUGGACAAGGUGCAAAUGGGUGGUCCUGAUAUGGAUAAGGUGCAUGCGAAUGGCUGUCUACUUGUAUAGUGGCGCUCCAAUGUACAUACGUAUGUAUCUUAUGCAUGUAUACAGUUGAUGGAUGUACAUGUUUGUUGCACAAAUUAUUCUGAACCAACUCUUCAUAACAGGUCUUUGUUACCAAGUAAUUUUACUUUUGCACGUUUCAGCCGAGAGGCAGAAGAGAAUAUUUUACAGAGAGGGCAGAGAAGGAGGUUGGCGGAGGCGCCGUGGUAGGGUUCCCCGUGUCGCCAAGAUUUUUGCAUUUUAGAUGUGUGUAUUGAUCACUUCGUCGUGCUCGCGGGGCCCAACUCCAGGUUGUACCCCAGCAGACCACGUUCUGUUUCUCUGCCUCCAAUGAGCAUGCAUGCCUCCACAAGGACCACAAGACUUAGUAAAAAAGCUAAACUUUGCAACACGAUGUAUACAGAACGUUUUGAAAUGUACUCUCGUUAGGCAUUCACCUCCUUAACAAUCACUGCGACUGUAAAAGAGGUACAUCGACGCUAGCUAAAUAAACCACUAUAAGAUUUAGCAAGAGAUCAUUUUAUACAAUCCUGUAACGAAACAAUUUGACAAUUAUAGUGUCCAUAUAUUUUGACAAAAAAACGUUUAAAUUAUAUAAGGAGGUGGGCCCGAAAACGGUUGGAUUACAUCGAGAACGUUUUGAAACAGUUGGCGGAGCAGGAUUCUGGCGUGGAGCAUCUACAUUGUCGCGCGCGCGGACUGCCGGAGUAGGCACGCUCGACUUGUCCCAUCGCCAGCUAAAUGAUUUAGUACCGGAUGGUCUCUAGUACCGGUUGGAGCUACCGUCCACCAGGAGCUUUUCUAGUUUGGAACUGGUACUAAUGCUAAUAUUAGUAUCAGGUCAAAAACAAUCGGUACUAAGGCUAGGGAUGACACGUCAUUUUUCUAGUAGUGUGUGCAAUUGGUUUUGUAAUUAGUCUAUAUUUAAUACUUCUAAUUAGUAUCUACACAUUUUAUGUGACAGGGACUGAACUUUAGUCCGUGGAACCAAACACCCCAUAAGUAUGUUUGGUGCUGUAAGGAUUUCGGUUUUAUUUAAUUUCCUAGGCAUUUAAAUUUCUUUCUAAAAUAAGUUAAUGAAUCAUAGGAUCUCAUUGUUGUAUUCAAGCUGGUGCAUUGAUUUUGCCUAUAAAACCCGCCGCGGUCUUCGCAGCCCCCAUCAAACCCUAGCGCCCUUGCCACAAGCUCAGCACCGCUGCCGCCCGAGCUCGAGCACUAGCACCCACCCAUCGCCGUUGCCUUCCCGUCGAUGGGAUCACCGCCCGGAGCUUCGCAUCGUGGUAAGGAAGCCGCCCGUGAAGAUCCCAUGUGCUCCUAUGCCCUCUACCGCGUCCCCGAGUUCCCGGAGUUGCUAGUCUCCCACCGAGCCGACUCUCCGAGCUUCACGUCACUGGUGCCGCUCCGAAGACCUAGUUCGGUUCGCCAUGCACCUCGCUUCAUCCUGAGCUAAACCCCAUAAUGAAUGGUGGUCGGAUGCUCGCCGCCACGGCGCGUCGUCUUUUCUGUCGCCCGUGCAUUGCCUAUCCCCUUCCAGCCGAUUGCAGCUGUCCGAUCGCAAACCGGUGGCCCUGAUCGGAUACCAAGGUCAAUACCGGUCGAACCGAGCCGUGCGCUGCUUUUGCAAGAAGGCCCCUGUUUUUCUCUCUUUUUGCACCUGAGGUCCUACGCAGUUCAAAAGUAAUAAGAUCUAGGUCCUUUUUCUUUUGUUUUAGCCCGUGUUCUUUUAUAAAAUCCCGCCCACUAUUCUGUUUGGUCUUUUGACGCGUUAGACCUUCUUUUUAUAUGUUUAAUUAGGUUUUAGGUCUCGAUUUCUUUAAGUUUAGCCCUUGAAAGUUUAGUUCUCUCGCAGUUAAGCCCCUGAACCUUGUUUAGCUCAUAUCUUAAGCGUUUUAAAUCCGUUUUAACAGAUUCUUGCGCCUAUAAGUUCAUGUUGACGCAUAGAUUAGUUGACUUAUACGAACCUUGCUGAUUCAGCUCCUUGAUUGUGCUUCAGAUCUCGCUAGGGAAGAAUAAUGGAUGGGCUUUGGUUGAGCUUGUAGAUCGACUUGCAGUUGCAGUGAAUGAGCAGAGGAUUGGCAGUGAAUAAGAUCAGGCCGCUGCCCUGCUUGGUAGGGAAAAUAUCUGCUUGCUACCAAGGCCUGUGACGCAUGGACCCCAUUGAGAGUGCAUUAUUGACAAGGACUUAAAGCCAAGGGCUCCACACCUGUCAUUGAUCAGCUGUCUGCUGGGCGCUGCAAGGAGGUAGUGCAUGUUUGACAUAAAGAAGCAGGUGGCCCAGGAUUUACGAAAAAUAAGGAUCUAUUUGAUACCCUUGCUUAUAUUUAGGGGCUAAAAGUUGCUUAUUUGAAGUUGCUUAUUUUUAAUCCUAGCUGUUUGAUUGCAUGGGCUAAAGAGCAUUGAAUGAGGUGGAUAUUGUCAUGUUUGCCUCUAAUGAUUGCUUCCCAUCACAUUUCUCCCCCCUCAUUCAACGAGGGAAGGAGGUGUAAAGUGCACCUUUUAGCCCCGAUAAGUAACCCUUGUGUUGUUUACGGGCUGAACAUAAGUAGCUAAAGUUUAGCUCCAAUAAACAAGAGUGUUUGGUAUUUUUGGGGUUAAAAGGGGCUAAACUUUAGCUGCUUAUGCAUAAGCAAGGCCAUCCAAAUAGGCCCUAAGUAUGUUUGGCGUUGUAAGUAGGUUUUAUUUAAUUUCCUAGGCAUUUAAAUUUCUUUCUAAAAUAAGUUAAUGAAUCAUAGGAGUUCAUUGUUGCAUUCACGCUGGUGCAUUGAUUUUGCCUACAAAACCUGCUGCCGUUUCCGCAGCUCCCAUCAAACCCUAGCACCCCCGCCACGAGCUCCAGCGCCGCUGCCGCCCGAGCUUGAGCACUAGCGCACACCCAUCGCCGUCGCCUUCCUAUCAAUGGGAUCACCGCCCGGAGCCCGUGUCAUGGUAAAGAAGCCGCCCGUGAAGAUCCCGUCCACUCUCGUGCCCUCUACCGCGUCCUCGAGUUCACCGGAGUUGCCAGUCUGCCACCCAGCCGCCUCUCCGAGCUUCAUGUUGUCGUUGCCACUCUAGCUGCCUCUCUGAAGACCUAGAUCGGUUUGCCGUGCACCCCGCUUCAUCCUGAGUUAAACCCCAUCAUGCCACGUCAUAGUAAGGAAGCUGCUCAUGAAGAUCCCGUGCGCUCCCGUGCCCUCUACCGCGUCCCCAAGUUCACUGGAGUUGCUAGUCCACCACCGAGCCGCCUCUCCGAGCUUCACUUCACAGUCGCUGCUCCAGCCACCACUCUGAAGACCUAGAUCAGUUCGCUGUGCACCCCACCUCAUCCUGAGCUAAACCCCAUGACGAACUGUGGUCGGAUGCUCAUUUUCGAGUGAAUUCCGGCGAGAUGGUCGCCCGCCGCCGCCAUCUCCAUCGCCCAUGCACCGCCUGUCCCCUUCCAGCCGAUGUCCGAUUGCAAACCGAUAGCCGAAAUCGGAUGUGGUCACCAGGAUUAAUACCAGUCAAACUAAGCCACGCGUGCCGCUUUUGCAAGAAGGCCCCUAUUUUUCCCUCUUUUUGCACUUGAGGUCCUAUGCAGUUCAAAAGUAAUUAGAUCAAGGUCCUUUUUCUUAUGUUUUAGCCCUAUUCUUUCAUAAAAUCCCGGCUGCCAUCCUGUUUGAAAUAGAUACGGUUAUAGAUAUGCAAACAUCUGCAUAUUUCCAACCGUAUCUCUUUCGAACGGGAGACGCCUAACUAGGUUACGUGACAUACGAACAUCAUACGGAUAGAGAGGGGUAGGAUGUCUCACCUUGCUAUCCUACAAAGUGACGACUCGAGGACAGUAAUGUAGCCUCUCCUUCAAAAAAAGAACAUACUACUAUCAAGUUAAAUUUUUGACAGCACCUCCCCUGCACGUGGAGGUUUCCAUAACCUGCAUCAAAUAAAACGGCACGAUGGCUGACAACCACAUCUACAGCACCAGAAUGGCACGAUGGCCGACUUCCACAUAAAGUUCUUAUACCUUAGAUUGCCAAGUCAAACAUCCUUUUCUAAUUUCUAAAACAAAAGCCCUCCCACCUCUCUAUCUUAUACUUUCCUAUUUACUAAUUGCUUUUGUAAUUUCUAAUUUCUAUUUCAUCCUACCACCUCUGUACCCUUUUCUCAUUUCUAAUUCCAAUUUUCUAACUUGAAGAGCAAAGAUUGAUUACUAGGAGGGGUGAGGGACGCCGGCCUAGAGAGGCGAGGGGACGUCCGGCGGCGGCGGGUGCGUCGGGGGUAGGAUGCCAGGGGCGGCUGCAGGGGCGCCGGGUUGGGGGCGGCCGGGAUCGAGGGCACCAGUAGCGGGGGCACCGGGCCGGGGGCGGCCGGCGGGGCGGGACGCCAGGGCCGGGGCGACGGGCGCCGGUGGCGAGGCCGCCCGGCCGGUGGUGGCCGGCGUGGCGCCUGGGCCGGGGGGGGGGGGCGGGCGGGGUGCGGCGCGGCGCGCCGGGGCAGGGCGCCGAGGCUGGGUGGUGGGGUACGGGGCGGCGGGCGGGGGGUGGGGGGAGGGUCGGCGGCGGGGCGCGGGGGCGGCCAGCGGCGACGGCGGAGGGCGUCGGUGGUGUUUCGGAAGUGAUACGGAGGGGGUAGAGAGAUUCGUUUUCGCGGCUGAGUGUUCGAGUCAGAAGGCCGUGCGGCUUAAGUCAGGUGGUUUGCCGAGUGCGCGCGAUCUGGCACUCGGCAAAGUCAGAAGUUUUGCCGAGUGUCAGAUCGCGGGCACUCGGCAACUGCAGCUUUUGUCGAGUGCCCUGGAUUCGGCACUCGGCAAAGUGAAGUUUUAAUUUUUUUUAAAAAAAUUUAAUCGGAACACGGGCGUGCCAGCGGGCCCGUGACAUACUUUGCCGAGUGUGUAGCAAAAACACUCGGCAAAAUAUUAUCUUUACCGAGUGUUUUCGCUAGGCACUCGGCAAAGUACACUUAUAUUUCAUGUACACUUUUUCAAUAACGUGUUUUACUAACCUUUUUCUGAUAUACUUGGGAAAAACCUUAUCAAAUUCACUCAACAAUGGAUAUAUGGUUUUUCUACUGACAUUAUUCCAUUAUUUCAUUCAGUUAUAGCUCAAAUUGAAUUUAUAUCUAUUAAAAAUCAAUAAUUGCAUUUAAUAAAUAAAAAAUACCAAACGGAUCUGAAAAAUUUCCAAAAUUUGACAUGAACCAAUCUAUGUUGUAUGUUGCCUGUACAAAAAGCUUUGAAGUCAAACCCCAAUUCAAGUGUCACUUGGACUCCAAAUCUUAUCGGAUCCUUUCUAACUUCUAUGAAUCCUUUCGGGAGAUGAGUCGGUUUGUAAGCAUCAUAUGUCAUAAAUUGGGCGAAACCUUCUCAAUUUUUUACCACAGCCUCCACAUAUAAUAUCAUGACACCUUGACAAAUCUUGUGAUUUUCAGACUUCGUUUGCUUUUUUUAGAAUUUAACAACCAUUCAACCACAUGUUCGUGAUCGUGUUUUCUAAAAAAAUGUUCAAAAUUUCUUUUCAUUUCCUGGUUGAGACCUCAAUCCGGAUUGAAUAAUAUGAAUAUGAUUUUUUCACUGAUUUUAAUCCAUUAUUUAAAUCACUUGCAGUUAAAUUUGACUUAAAUAAACAAAUUCCUAUUAAUGCUAUCAAUUCAUUAAAAAUAGCAAACAGAGAAAAAAUAGACCAACUUUUAAGAUGGAUUACCAAAUGUCAUAUGUGGGGAGUAGAAAAAGUGUGGAGAGCAGAGGUGGAAAAAAAAGUUUUGCCUUUGCCAAGUGCCUACACAAACACUCAACAAACUUUGCGGAGUGCCUAUUGAAAACACUCAGCGAACUUCUGAGUUUGCCGAGUGUCUGGAGGGAGCACUCGGCAACCUACUUAUUUGCCGAGUGUCCGCGUCGGACACUCAGCAAAGUACUAACGGCUGGCACACUCCCCUAACGGACGGCGCACGUGCAAGCCAUGUGCUGGAGAUUUAUCGAGUGUCAAAUCGUUGCCGAGUGUCGUGUGGAUGUUUGCCGAGUGUCUUAUUUGUGACACUCGGCAAAGCUAUUGUUUGCCGAGUGUAUUAUUUAUGCCGAGUGUCUUCCAGUAUACACUCGGCAAAUGAUGUCUUUGCCGAGUGCUCGACAUAAAGCACUCGGCAAAAAUUUUACACUCGGCAACAUUCCUGUUUCCGGUAGUGAGUGACCCGGGACUAAAGACCCCCGUUGUCUCUGAUUGCUUUAUUCCGGAUGGAUUUUCAGGAGAUUUGCUCCCUACCAAUAGGGACUAAAGGCAAGUUUUCCACUUAUAGCAAACCAGUUAGCCCAUUGUUGAUGGAACGCAUCACUAGAAACAGCUCGGGAUCCACUUGUCCAAUAAUCGAGAGGGCCUAUAUAUGGACCACGUGUGCGGAUCCCUAAUUAGGAAAAAAGAAUAAUGGAGUAGGACAUCUCCAUGCUCACCUAGUAGCCGCUGCUAGCUUGUGCGUGUGGAACACGAGUGCCGGCCCAGUUGGCGCUAAGACAUCGUACGUGCAUUAAGGCUACGAUCUCUUUCUUCUAACUCAUGCUUGUGCUAUUAUACAUUAUUGCAUGAUCAUCAAGAUAAGAUCGUAUAGUGACUGAGUGAGACAUGUAUGUACUAACAUGCAUUUAAGCCUCGAACUGUGUGUUGUUACGUGAGCUGCCUCCUCACCUCGCCUCUGAAUUAUUGAACCGUUUCCAACAGUGUUGGUCUCAAAUAAAUUUGACACCAAACAGAUUUAUGAAGAAGAGAGAAUAAUACUUGGAAUUGGAAAAAGUUUAUCUCUCUUUACAAUGGAGUAGGGCUCCCUUUUAUAGUGACCCAUAAGCCACUUUACAUUUGGAAAAUGUCCUUCCUCAACCACUACAUUAAUUCCUAGGAUAUGCUGUACAUAAAGGUCAUUUGAGGUAACGUGUACAAAUGAACUCUUCCACAUGGUCACGUUUCUCAUGCCUCCUGUUUUCCAACCUCGAGACAUCAUCUUCACGCCAAGUUGAUCAUCUAGCCUCGAGGCUCCAUCCACGAUCCAGAAUGAACGUCCAGGCUUGAGGCUCCUUCUUCGUUAAGCUUUGUUGAGAACUCAUAACCUCACAUAGUUCUCCUCCGAGUAUUGUUCCCGACUCAGAACACUCGAGGUUUAGCUCAGUUGGAGUUUAGCUAUUACUGUUGCUAGUCACCAGCCUCGAGCCCCUCCAGAAGCAAGGUGAUGCGAGGGUACGAGUUUUACUAUUAAAGGUGUUUCCAUAGAAUGUGCGAGGUUAAAGCACUUGCAGCAAAAGCGUGGAGCUGCUUUCAACCAGAGUGCAAUAAUGCAGCCGUGCCCAUCUUGGUCUUGGUCUCCGCCUGAACUAUAGCAGAUGCUGGCAGCGGUAGCAGGGUGGUCCAUUAUAUCUAUGGAUGGCAAUGGUCGGAUUCGGAUGGAAUCGAAUUCGAAUAGCACUUUUUACCACAUACUAAUUCAAAUCCGAAUUCGGAUUCGGAUGUUCUCGAAUGCGAAUGCAAAAUGGAUGGUUCGAAUUCGAAUACUUAGCGGAUUUUUGCAUAAUAUUAAUCGAAUAGAAUUCAUUAAAUUUAGCCAAGAAAUUAAAUUUUCUGAAAUUAAAUACUUUCCCUUCGCCCCAGCGGCGGCCUAACUCCCAGGACGGUGGCGUGCGGGGCCCGAGCAUCCCUGGCCUCUAGUGGCGUGGCGGGGCGGCAUCCAGCAGCAGCGGCGGGGCUCGGCCUCCGGUGGCGCGCGGCCAGCCCGACCUACCCGGUCAGAGGUGGCGCAGCGGUGCGCGGGCCUCCCCGACCAGAGCCGGUGGGGAGCGGUGCGCGGGGAGGACCUCCCCAGCCGGAGGUAGCAGGGCGCGACCUCCCCGGCCGGAGGUGGCUCCCUGUGGGGGCGCGGCCGUGACAGCUAGCGAGGCAAUAAUUGCUUCCGUACGCAGCAAUAAUUGCUUGUGCGACACCGUGUUAUUACUCUGGUACAGUACUCCCUCCGUUGCAGUACACUGGUCCAGGCGUCAGGACACUGCUCCUGCCCUCGUGGUUCACGUGCAUCAGGCCAGCAGACAAGCUAUGAUGUUGCCAACAGUGUUUGUUUGAACAUGGAGAUGUCAUUGUGAUUGUCAGGGACCCGACACCAUGCAUGCCGAUUUCAUAUUCUUAAUAUUUAUUUUUUUAAUGGUUGUUGAAACUAUAUAGUUACUCCAAUAUCACGUUUCCGAUUAUAAAAAUUAACAUAAAGAGAUCGGAAGGGAGAGCCCGCAUAAUGAAGCCGACGCGUAUAAUAAGCACUAGAGCCGGCAUUUAUACAAACGGGUACGCAUAGUAAAAACUAGAAUUUAUAAAUAAAUGAAGAUAUUCAAAUAUCUGGCUUACUUUUUUCAUUAAUUUUGCAUGAAUAAGGGAUGAUUCAUUAAUCAUUAUUGAACAAAUUGGCACACAUGCUUCGUGCCCGCGUUGUGAGCAUUAUGCGAUGCCACUGAGCUGCACCACCACGGUAGAGGGCCUGUUUGCGAUGCCACCGAGCUGCACCACCACGGCAGAGGGUCUGUUUGGGAAGGGGAAGUUAAAGUUUAACACCCCCCAUUUAACACCUUUUUAACAAAAUGGCUGCUAAACACUUGUGUUAAAAGAGUAGUGUUAAAAUUUAACACCUCUCUUUUCAUAAACACAUGGAGGGGGUGUUAAAAUUUGCUAAAUGUGUUAAAAGUGGUCCCCUCCCCACUUAUUCCUUGGUUGCCCCCCUCUCUCUCCUCCUCUCUCUCCUACCCGCCGCAUUUAAGAGCAUUAUUGAGGGGUAAUGCAGUCCUUUUCCAACAAAAGUGUUAAACUUUAACAACCCUUCCCAAACAUGCCACAAGCAACACCACCGGCUGACUGUGCUAGCGGGGAGCACCCUCACCGCCUGCCCGUGGGGACUUCUUCUGCCGGCCAUCGUGUCUUUGUAGGACCGCCGCGUGAGCCUAUGAGCCACCGGUGGCCGUGCGCCCAAGGGCCAUCACCAUGCCACCUGAGGAUGCUGUCUACCCGGUGCCGCGUGCCUCUGCUAGCUGCUUGCACCUGGGCCGCCGCUGGUCGCCUGCACAGCCACGCGUUACAGCCGCCCCCCUGCGCUGGGCCACCCCAUUUCGUGUUGGAAGAACUGCCACAGUCUCGCGCACUGGGGUUUUGCUAGUGACGACCAUAGCCUCCAAGAUCAAAUGAAAAAGUUGGUACUCAAAACAUACAUCCAUUAAUCUAGUCGUGCUAAUCCUUACCACCAAAUAAAAACUAGCAUGUGUUGUGUUUUUGUGACCCUAAACGAUCACAAAUGAAUAACUUAUGGGCGUUGCUAGCCUAUAAGUUAUGGGCGUUUGUGACCCUAGUCGCGCCGGGGUCUUGCUGGUGACAACCAUGGUCUUCGCGAUAAAGUAUUAAGUCUCAUCGAGUUCUACAAUUUUGAUAUAAAAUUUCUAUUCAUCCGAGAUCAAAUGAAAAACAAAUGAAAAAAUCCGAAGUAUUAGGCUUCAUCGAGCUCUACAAUUUUGAUAUAAAAUUUCUAUUCAUCCGAGAUCAAAUGAAAAAAUCCGAGAUCAAAUGAAAAGUUGGAACUCAAAACAUACAUCCAUUAAUCUUGAUAUAAAAUUUCUAUUCAUCCGACAUCAAAUGAAAAAGUUGGUACUCAAAAUAUACAUCCUUUAAUCUAGUCGUGCUAAUCCUUACCACCAAAUAAAAAAACUAGCAUGUGUUGUGUGUUUCUGACCGUAAACGAUCACAAAUGAAUAACUUAUGGGUGUUGCUAGCGUCCCGGACGCUAGCAUCGGACGCAUGAGCAGCCGUCCGAUCGGGUCCGACACCACUUCACGAUCUGUCUUAAAAAAAAGUCCCACCGAAACAUUGUUCCAUGUUGCAUGAAAUACCCCACUAUCCAUCGCCAGGUCUACAGCAAGCACCACCUUCCAAUCUGCUGCUCACCCAAGCUAAAUAGGGGCAUUAAAAUUGCAGAAAUAUGUCACAUAUCCUUGUCAAAUUAAACUAAAUCGCAACAUCCGAAAAUUUCUUACACAAAACCAUGAAACAUAUCGAUUAGAUAGGUGUAACAAGAUGGAAUAUGGUAUCCAACAUAUAGAUUCCGAAAAACAGAUGAAACAUUAUGUAACGAUUGUUGAAACAGUCGAGAAAUAUAGAUGUAACGAUUAAAAUUUAGAAAAGAAGCUUUAUGCAAAUUGCAAAAAGCUGAAAUAAGUGGUUGAAACAUUUCGAAUCACCAAAUGCCACAUUUGAAAUGGCUACAUGAAACAUCACGAAAUCAAUUGCAACAGUUGAAGAUGAAAACAUUCAAAUGCCUUGCCUUUCUCCAGAUUUGACCCUCCAAGCAUGAGUCCAGCCAUUUGCACAUUAGACCCUUGGGAGGAGCUCACCGGAGAACAACAAGACCGUGUUCUCCAACAAUUUUCUGAUCAAAUUGCAACAGACAAAACAAAGCAUUGCAACAUCUGGCAUCACGAGCUACAACAUCAACAAGUUAGGAUCAGGAGAAAGAGGGAAAACACAAGCCUAACAACCCCAAGACAAAACUGAUGUACUCAUCAUACAUCACGGCUUGCCGUGCACAGAGAUGAAGGCCGCCAAGCUCAAUCGAGACAGAGACGACGUGAUAGUGCUCCAGAUCGACGGUCCCCAUCAAUUGUUGCGUACACUGCCAAAAGCAAUGGAAGAAGAAGGGUCGUCCCUGCUCGACCUCCGUAGAUGAGCGCAGAUUGGGGGAAACCGUAUAGAGUGCCGCUGACAGCACAGGCGAGGGGGCUCAGGCUUGAUUCAGGGUGAGGGUAGCGGGUAGCAUGAGGAGACAGUCAGGUUUCAUAGGAGAGAGGCGGAGUAGAGAGCUCUGGUGACUCGGUGAGGAGGGUGCGGCACGGAGAAAGGUGUGUAGCUGAAGGAGCUACAUGGUUGGGGCGAGGCGAGCGUAGAGACUAGAGAGGGAAAAAAAGCAUGGGGAGGAGACGAUAUGUGGUUGAUGGUGCGGGCACGUGGUGAGCGCACCGUAUGAAAAUUUUGCUCGCGUCGGAUGACUGAUGUGAAGCAUUACCCAAUCUUAAUUAUCUCCCAUAAUCCAAAACUCACAAAAACAUCAAAAAUCCGCCGAGAAUAAAUUAAGUAAACCAUGCACACACAGAUAAUAAAAUUGCUAAUAAGGCCAGAGAUAAUACAUGAACAUAUUAGACUGUUCAUGACACAUAUCACGGUGGAUAGUGUCUGUGUCCUUAUUACAAGCAAUGAGAGAUGCUUGUCACCACACACACGCGCACAGAUGCAUGACAUACAUAUAGUUGAGACCAACAGAUGGAUCAACUAGAGGUCACCCCAUAUGGUGAACAAUUUAUUGGAGAUAAACAUUAACAUAACUUGGCCAUAGCUUGAAGCAUAGCAACAUAUGCCUAUGAAUGGCGUUCAUGCUAUCGUUUUAGGCUUGUCCAGCUUCUUUCAUCUUAGCAAGCACUUCCAUUUCUACCAUCUUAGCAGCAACUGUCAAAUUGAGAUAUGGAAAUCCCAUUAGCGCAUGAUUAAUUUUGCAGUGGAAAUAGAGUGCAAGAUAUCUUCAUGAUGUAAAUAACAUGCCUGAAGUUGUGAGAUGGGAAGUGAAGUCAACAAAUUACAUUAACGGAAAUGCAUGGAAGGCCACACAUACGUAUUAGUCCAUAAUACGCUACAAAGCUUGUAUGUACAUAUAGCAAAUUAAAUGCAUUAAUUGAAUAGAGUGAGUUUAGUGAAUUUACCAGAAUCGUCCAGAAAACAUGGGAAACAGCAAGUGUGCUUGCAGACUGUGUCGGAGCCACCCACACGAAUACAAAGCUGACAACAUGCUUGUGCCUCGUGGGAUACGCAGCAGCCGCACUGUGCCGCGGUGGCCGAGUUAACAUUGAGGCUCAAGAUGAACAGGCACAUGAUCACCAUCAAAGUGGUAGUCCUCUUUCCCUCCAUUGCCUCCUGUCGCUGCUACCUUCCUUGGUUACUAGUAAGUUUAUUGGUUUUGUGUUGAGAGGUGAUUCUUGCAUUGAAUGGACGUUGCCGCGGCUGCAAUUUAUAGGCAGCUGCGCUAUGUGAUGAUAUGGACAAGGUGCAAAUGGGUGGUCCUGAUAU